This 56035-nucleotide long non-coding RNA is filed under the name Hordeum vulgare. Its description in RNAcentral is "long non-coding RNA (HVUL_LNC008291)". Lineage: Eukaryota; Viridiplantae; Streptophyta; Magnoliopsida; Poales; Poaceae. The record is from RNAcentral.
GGGAUCUUGGUCCCACGAUUUGGUACCCUGCUCCUGGUCCUCAUGCUGCCUUUGAUUUGCGUAUAAAUACGCCACUGGCAUUGCAAUUCCAAGCACAGCGAAACACACAAGCGACUUAUUUCCUUCAACAAUAUGGCUCUCCUCAAGAACUUGGCCGCGUACCUGUGCGUGAUCCUGGCCUCGCUCGCCUUCGUGGCGCAGGGCGCGCUCGCAGCCAGAGGUAUCAUCAUCAACUCGCCUCUUCCUAGCUCGUGUCUAAAAUAAGUAAGUGUAACUUAUAAUCUGACUGUUGUUGAACCUACAGCAGGUGCUUUAAGCAACGUGAGGGGGUACACGGUUAAGGACCCGCGCGGUGGUGGUGGUUAUGGGAAUGGGUAUCCUCCAUGAUAGGCCGGAGAUGAUGACACUUGGACCACGGAAAUACUACAAAUAAGUCCGCGUACCAUGAAUAAAUUUGCACACGUUGCCGAUAUAUAGUAAAACACAGUGAUGCACGGUUUUACUCCCUCUAUACGUGAAUAAUUACAGUUGAAACGAACUAGUCUAGUUUUCCUCAACUAUAAUUAUUUAGCUACAGAGAAAGUAUAUUGUUACUACAUACUAUGCUUGGCUUUCUAAAUAAAUGCCUUGUGGCGGCUUGUGAGCUUACGGCGUGUCUCGUCUGAGUUUGGCCGACGCCGAGUCUGUUCGGGUCGCGCCCUAACAGGUCGUCAAGUCUCUGCAUGAACCGAGUCGUUAUACAACAAGAUGCAGAAUGCAUUGGUCAUAGCGAUUUUCGGCUGCGAGGUCACUACCUUGUACCUUGAACGAAUAAUAGAAGGAGAAGAAAAGCUGUGAAAAGUUUACGCGGUGCACAUCUCUUCACUCUUGUGGGCCGUGCUCUCUCUUGCGAGGAAUUAUACUGGUUGCAAGGAAUUGUUGUCUCACACAAGCGGAACCUUUUAGUUCUAUAGAUUUUCAUGCUCUACGUGCAAAUAUAAUUUUUGUCAUAGAGUUUGCAUUACGAUAAAAUUCUGUCCUUGAACGUGUCAUCCCAUGAAAGAGAUGUAUAUUGGUUUCAAAGAAUGUGAAGCGAUAUACAUAUCACUCCUCACACUAAUUUCGAUUUGCUAGCAAUUUGUAAUUUCACUACCUUGGCAUUCGCCUUAUCUCAUUUAUCGUCACUUCCCAAAAUGUGCCCUCCCACUCCCCUAAUGUCAUGAAUUAUCUUCAUUUUNNNNNNNNNNNNNNNNNNNNNNNNNNNNNNNNNNNNNNNNNNNNNNNNNNNNNNNNNNNNNNNNNNNNNNNNNNNNNNNNNNNNNNNNNNNNNNNNNNNNNNNNNNNNNNNNNNNNNNNNNNNNNNNNNNNNNNNNNNNNNNNNNNNNNNNNNNNNNNNNNNNNNNNNNNNNNNNNNNNNNNNNNNNNNNNNNNNNNNNNNNNNNNNNNNNNNNNNNNNNNNNNNNNNNNNNNNNNNNNNNNNNNNNNNNNNNNNNNNNNNNNNNNNNNNNNNNNNNNNNNNNNNNNNNNNNNNNNNNNNNNNNNNNNNNNNNNNNNNNNNNNNNNNNNNNNNNNNNNNNNNNNNNNNNNNNNNNNNNNNNNNNNNNNNNNNNNNNNNNNNNNNNNNNNNNNNNNNNNNNNNNNNNNNNNNNNNNNNNNNNNNNNNNNNNNNNNNNNNNNNNNNNNNNNNNNNNNNNNNNNNNNNNNNNNNNNNNNNNNNNNNNNNNNNNNNNNNNNNNNNNNNNNNNNNNNNNNNNNNNNNNNNNNNNNNNNNNNNNNNNNNNNNNNNNNNNNNNNNNNNNNNNNNNNNNNNNNNNNNNNNNNNNNNNNNNNNNNNNNNNNNNNNNNNNNNNNNNNNNNNNNNNNNNNNNNNNNNNNNNNNNNNNNNNNNNNNNNUAUAUGAAAUGCGAUUUUUCUGGUCUUAUGGCUUAUAUUUUAUUUUUUUACAUCAAAUUUUACGUAAUGAAUCAAUAUAAAUGUAACUAUUGGUAUUCCAAAUGUAAUUUAUUUAUGAAAUUGCAUAAAAUUACCUGGAUAAAGAAUAACUUAUUUUGCACCUUCAGUGACGAAUAGACUUUCUAUAUUUUGCACCUAGAUCAACUACCGUUGGAUUGCUUUAGAAAUAGCAUCAUAGAUCGUGGGUAGUUUAGACUAGAAUUCGGGUCUAACCCGUUAGUGAAUUUGAUUUGGAGGGUAGGCCAUAUUUUAACUGUUUCCUAAUAUUUGACAUGCAAUACUUUCCGUAUAUGACGUUGUAUCAAUUUGUUAUUUCUUUCCUAACCAACACGCAUGGCUCUUGUUUGAUUUGUUUCCAUAUUUAAUAAUAGACCAAUCAUUGGCCCUCUAAUUGCCUCACAGAAAAAACCGCCAUGGCCGGCCGGCCGAGCCAGCGCCCAGUUUGAGAUACGUGAUGAGCACAUGAACCUUGUAACCAGGAAAUACUUGUAACCACCGUCUAUCACAUGGAGAACGGUCAUGUGACCUCAUUUCUUCAUCUUUAUCAUAUUUCAUGGAUCCACUAGGUAUGUAUGGUUGUUCAGUUUAAUCGUAUCGAUUUUUUUGUGAAGCCCAAUACUCAUAACUUGCAUUGGAAAGCACAAUUUUUCUCUCAUCUACGUAUUUCAGCCACAUGCUUCAACAUAUCUCGUUAUUUUCUCUAAUUUUUACCAUUAUGUUUCCCUUCGUUUGGAUAUUUUAUUCAUGCUUCUUCUUUCUUGAACACUUGAUGUAUUUGUUUUUUAUUCUUUUCGGAUAGAUCUAUGCGAAUAAUGUUUCUGUAGAUCAUUAAGCUACCAAACUUACUAAAAGAUGCGGUGGUUGGCGGUGAAGGCUUUGUGCGACAACGCCAAUGACUCAAACAACGUGCAAGAGAAGGACAUGGAGAUACAUGUGACUUAAUAAAAUUUGUUUGUCUUUAUGAAUCUUGUAUCUUAACAUGCAAAUUUGAGUACAAUAUCAAAAACCUUCUUAUUUCUUGUGAAUUGGGUUGUAGUACGCUUGUGUAUAUGCAUGGCCAAAUUUUAUAAAAAAAUAUGAUAAUCAAACAGUAUGGCCAAAUCUUGAGUAUGUACAUACUGAACACACAUUUAUCAAUCCGAUUAUAUCACAAUACCUUGCACUUUCAUAGGUACAAAAUACCCACAUUUCUGCACCAUUUUUAUACACGCAUGGGAACCAAAUACCCGCAUUUUUGUAUCGUAGCUUAGGUAUCCAUUGCCCUUCUACGAGACGCAAAGUCUAAGAUAUAGUUGCAUGUGCGAACUUGUCAAUUUUUAAAAAUAAUAAGGAUGGAUUCUAUAUAUCUAUACUGUAACUGAGGUAUUUUGACUAUAUACCCACUGAACUUAAAACCAUGUCCUCAAUUUUAUUGCGAGUAUAUAACCCAUCUAUACAUGAUUAUCCAAGAUAUGCUAUAGCUAACCAGUAAAUAAUUGCUAGGUACGCAUUUAUACCCACAAAUCCACUAUAGUUGCUAAUACCUAAGACGUACAUGUAGAUUUGCGUUCACUACAUUUCUAGGUAUUCUAGGUACGUACACAUGUGAGUUAUUUAUACAAACUGACUAAUUUAUGAGUAACUGAAUGCCAUUAGUAGUUUUAUUUCGCAUGUAAAAUUUAUGAAUAUACCUCAGAUGUUUUGCAGUUACGUGAAAUAUAUGAAUUAGUAACAUUUACAAAAUCUUUACAAUGUUUUAAAAGUGGACAACAAUGGCAAAAGGAAUAGUCUCCAUAUACCUAAUCACAUCCACGUCUUCAAAUUAAGGUGCAGUAACUUUAGAUUAUUCUAAAACCAAACGCUGCCAUUUAGAGUUGUCUUUAUUGUUUUAGCUAUGAACAAAGGUCUCCAUGCAUGGCUUAAGAAUUGAUCUUACCUAUCAUCUACCCACAACUAAGAAUUGAUGAACAUCUAAUGGUGCCAUGUGGUUAAUAUGAAAACAAUACCCACAUAUAUUAAUGGACUCAUACAGGUGUGACAAGGUACAACCUUUUGUUCAAAAAGGGUACAAGUGUCCCGCGCAAAAAAAAGGGUACAAGUGUAACCGAGUAUCCUAAAUAUUCCAAAGUGCAAAUACCUGACGGAGUGAGUGUGUGUGGAUACAUUUACGAGGAAUUAGAUCUUCAAAAAAAUGAAGCAUACUUUAAAUUAAGAUCACAAAUAAAGCUAGAAAAUUCAAGACUUAUUUUGUCUUGCAUACCCACACCGGCAAGAUUGUACUGAGUAUACUACUCCCAUAAAUUGACCACAAAUCCGUACAUUCCUAAUGCUAAAUUUGCUCCUCAUUUUUUACUACUAAUUGAUUGACAUUUAUUCUCACAUGCACAGCGUAAAUUUUUAACAUGCAUGGUGUAAAAUUACCUCACUUCUAAUAUAAAAUUACCGAACAACUUUUAGUGUUAUAUUUUUUCACACAUGCAGAACGUAACUUUACAUCACGCAUGCUGUAAAAUUACCUCACAUCUUUUCAUACGGUGAAAAGAAACUUCCUUCCUCAAGAGUGUAAUAUUACCUCGAGUCUNNNNNNNNNNNNNNNNNNNNNNNNNNNNNNNNNNNNNNNNNNNNNNNNNNNNNNNNNNNNNNNNNNNNNNNNNNNNNNNNNNNNNNNNNNNNNNNNNNNNNNNNNNNNNNNNNNNNNNNNNNNNNNNNNNNNNNNNNNNNNNNNNNNNNNNNNNNNNNNNNNNNNNNNNNNNNNNNNNNNNNNNNNNNNNNNNNNNNNNNNNNNNNNNNNNNNNNNNNNNNNNNNNNNNNNNNNNNNNNNNNNNNNNNNNNNNNNNNNNNNNNNNNNNNNNNNNNNNNNNNNNNNNNNNNNNNNNNNNNNNNNNNNNNNNNNNNNNNNNNNNNNNNNNNNNNNNNNNNNNNNNNNNNNNNNNNNNNNNNNNNNNNNNNNNNNNNNNNNNNNNNNNNNNNNNNNNNNNNNNNNNNNNNNNNNNNNNNNNNNNNNNNNNNNNNNNNNNNNNNNNNNNNNNNNNNNNNNNNNNNNNNNNNNNNNNNNNNNNNNNNNNNNNNNNNNNNNNNNNNNNNNNNNNNNNNNNNNNNNNNNNNNNNNNNNNNNNNNNNNNNNNNNNNNNNNNNNNNNNNNNNNNNNNNNNNNNNNNNNNNNNNNNNNNNNNNNNNNNNNNNNNNNNNNNNNNNNNNNNNNNNNNNNNNNNNNNNNNNNNNNNNNNNNNNNNNNNNNNNNNNNNNNNNNNNNNNNNNNNNNNNNNNNNNNNNNNNNNNNNNNNNNNNNNNNNNNNNNNNNNNNNNNNNNNNNNNNNNNNNNNNNNNNNNNNNNNNNNNNNNNNNNNNNNNNNNNNNNNNNNNNNNNNNNNNNNNNNNNNNNNNNNNNNNNNNNNNNNNNNNNNNNNNNNNNNNNNNNNNNNNNNNNNNNNNNNNNNNNNNNNNNNNNNNNNNNNNNNNNNNNNNNNNNNNNNNNNNNNNNNNNNNNNNNNNNNNNNNNNNNNNNNNNNNNNNNNNNNNNNNNNNNNNNNNNNNNNNNNNNNNNNNNNNNNNNNNNNNNNNNNNNNNNNNNNNNNNNNNNNNNNNNNNNNNNNNNNNNNNNNNNNNNNNNNNNNNNNNNNNNNNNNNNNNNNNNNNNNNNNNNNNNNNNNNNNNNNNNNNNNNNNNNNNNNNNNNNNNNNNNNNNNNNNNNNNNNNNNNNNNNNNNNNNNNNNNNNNNNNNNNNNNNNNNNNNNNNNNNNNNNNNNNNNNNNNNNNNNNNNNNNNNNNNNNNNNNNNNNNNNNNNNNNNNNNNNNNNNNNNNNNNNNNNNNNNNNNNNNNNNNNNNNNNNNNNNNNNNNNNNNNNNNNNNNNNNNNNNNNNNNNNNNNNNNNNNNNNNNNNNNNNNNNNNNNNNNNNNNNNNNNNNNNNNNNNNNNNNNNNNNNNNNNNNNNNNNNNNNNNNNNNNNNNNNNNNNNNNNNNNNNNNNNNNNNNNNNAUAUAGGUCAUAAGACCAGAAAAAUCACAUUUUAUGUAUAAUUUAUACUAUGUUUUUAUGUUUGUAAUUUUAUGUGACAUAAUUUUUUUUUACGAUGACUAUAUAUUUUUUUACGGUCUCUUUUUACGUAUGAGAUAAGAUUAAAAUUUCAGAAACGUAAAAUUAUGGUCUAUUGAUGUGAAAAUAGAGAGGGUGAAGAAUAACUAUUCCUCAUCCAGGGUGACGAAUAGUGCGACCCUAUAUAUAUAUAUAUGCUUCCUAUUUAACAACAAUAUAGAAGACCCCGCAAACAGAAUAACAACACUAUAGAAGACAUAACAAUGGGUUUUAAUGUUUGUAUUGAAUUGACUUCAAUAUUAAUUCGGCAAGGCAACGAAAAUGGGCAUGAAAACGAAUUUUGUUUGGUUGUUCACUGAAUUGACUCAUGCAAUUUCAGCAAUGUUUCAAUACGAAAAUAUGUUUGGAUGGCAAACUCUGGAAUUACAAGGUUACACAAGUAUGACUAUUAUCAAGUUGGAGUAUUUAGUGCAUGUUGUGGUUCUGCAUGAAACUUUACAUGAAAUUGGCUGGCAGAAACUCACUUAGUUAUAUUUCAUAUGAAGGGUUUUGAUCAUGUCUGAAGGAAGCAUGUUAUGACCUUUAAUAUGAAGGGUUUUCGUAUGAAGGGUUUUGAUCAUGUACAAGGAGGCAGCAUUGGGGUAAGGUCAAUGAUAGCAUGUGUUACUUCUUUCAAACUCUAAAGGGAUUGCGUCAGGGGAAUCCCUUAUCCCCUGUUCCAUUGAGUAUUGUGACAAAUAUAUUGUUAGCACUCAUUGGUAGAGACAAAGAGAAUGUGUUAAUCCCACAUCUCUUGGAUGGUGGAACUUUGACCCUACAAUACGUUGUUGAUACCAUUAUUUUUAUGGAACAUGAUAUGGACAAGGCGAUAAACAUGAAGCUGGUCUUGUGUCUGUUUUACUAAUUACCGGGUCUAAAUAUCAAUUUUCACAAAAGUGAGCUUUUCUGUUUUGUACGCGCCAAAGUGGAAAAUAAUAAUUAUGUACAGUUGUUCGCCUGUGAGAUCGAGUCGCUCUCAUUCAGUUAUUUGGGGUCACGGAUACAUCAACGUAGAUUAAUAAACAAAGAGUGGAACUAUAUUGAUGAUAGGUACGAAAAUAAGCUGAGCUAUUGGAAAGGCAAAUUAUGUCCUAUGGAGGUAAGCUGGUCCUCGUGAACUCGGUGCUGGCGAGUUUACCUAUCUUCAUGCUUUCAUUUCCCGAAAUACAUGUAAGUUUCUAGAAAAGAUUGGAUUUCUGUAGAUCACUUUUUAUUUUGUCGAUUGAUGAGCCUAAGACAAUUUAUAGAUUAGUAAGGUGGGUAUUUUUUUGUUUGGCUAAAAGAAAAAGUAUGUUUGGGCAUCCAGAAUAGAGAAGUUCAAAAUAAAUUUCCGCUCAGUGAAUGGUUACAUCGUUUGUCAUCUAAGCAGGAUGGAGAGUUGAUACAGCUACUGCGUAGCAAGUACCGGCAUUACAAAACUUUGUCUCAAGUGUUGGCUCAAGGGGCAGGCUAUGUCCUCACAAUUCUUGCUCACUGUCGUGGUUUUGUCACGGCAGAUGUCCUCGUGAAAGGACUUAGUACUGGAGCCAUCGCACUUUGGUGGCGACUCAAAGGGGUUGAACGGGAGAGAGACGGCGAUUUACCCAGGUUCGGCCCCUCGUGAGGAGGUAAAGGCCUACGUCCUGCUUUGAGUUGUAUUGAUGGAGUUUCGAUUACAAGGAGGGCGUAACUCGCGAGACCUAGCACUCGAUGAUUUCUAACCUGCCCUCUUCUUCCCUGGGACUCGCCUUUAUAUACAGGUCGAGUCCCUAGGGUUUACAAGGGUACUUUCCUUUCUACAAACCGUGACUUUUAUGAUCUCUAAGUCGCCAUCUUCCAAAGCUUGGAGACCUUCCGGAAGUUGUAAACCGCCAUACAACCUUCGGUCUUGCCAGGCCAAGGCCCGAACCACGCUUAGAUGAAUCGCCUGCUUUCGUGACCCAGCCCAACUAGGGUGGUUAUCAACAGGUAAUAUCCCCAACAUUAGGCCCCAGAUUGACUUGAAUUCUCUUCACGCCAAUAUUCUUGCUCAGUUAAGGGCGGUUCAUUUUUCAUCCUCCUCCAUACGUCAUGAACUUAACCCGCCAUCUGUCGCGAAAAGACUUAAAUCGCCAAAACAUUUCUCGUUGGUAUCUUCUUAUCCCUUGAAUUCCGGAAAAGAUAAUGACGUAAUCCGAACGGAUCCUUUGGUAUCGCUAUCCCAAAAUUUUCGGAGCGCCAUUAUGGCGAAUCUUUUAUCCUUUGGCGGUUCCCGCUCACGGCGCCUCGAUUCCAGCGCCUGCCCUGUUAAAUAGGUGGGGGGGGGGACAGGUCUAGCGCAUUCCACCCACCAGUCUUGUCAACCUUCUCCCCAUUAUCACAGCGAAAACCCUUAUUGCCUUCCGAGAGCUCCGCCACCGACCGCAGUUCUUGCCGUCGCCCGAAAGCUUUGGUGCCCCCAAGGAUCUUGUCGCCGUCAAGCACUUCACUGCGGCCGAGCUGCUCGCCGUCAUCGACCAUCUCAUCAUCGUCGACCACCUCGCUGCUGCCAAGCACUUCGUCGCCGCCGAAGAUUUCCGCGCCCGACCGAGGUUUUCGCACCCCUCCAGAAACCUUCGUCGCCGUCGACCAUCUCCGGCCGAACCCACCAGGUUAGGUCACCGUUUACUCAAGAGCAGAUCUCCAUUCUUUUUCGAAGUUCAUCACUGCCAUGUUCUUGAUGCUUUCCCGAAUAGUUGUUACUUGUCCUUGAUUAGUUGAUAUCGAUGAUGACGAGAAAACCAAUGUCUCUAAUACCUUUAUUUGUCCGCCCUCGAUUUGCAUGCUUAGAGUAAUAUUUCACCAAACCAACAACAUUAUCCCAUCUUGGUUGUAGGUUUUCGUAUCCGAUCAUUUUCCGCAUUUAUUUUCAGCUGUCCAGUAGAUCCAUAAUCUACAGCUCGUUAUGUGAAAGUUGUUUGUAGUCUUCAUACUUCACCAUUUUUGGAUAAAUAUAAUGCCUCUGACGCCUUAAGACACAACUCUUGUAAGUAGCCAAACUUCGUAAGUCGCCAUAGCAACCUGACUCGGGCCUUUAUAUGGCGGGUCAAGAUUUCUCCUCAGCCCGCGGACAAAUUACUUGGCGAGUCAAAUGAAAUUAUUUCACCUCUUACAGUAGAUGUUCAGGUGUGUCAAUUCACCCGUACUUUAUUCCUUUGUAGCAUGGGCACCGUCUUCAAAAGUGACUGGCUCCCUACCAAGGUCAAUGAUGCCAUACUAGAGGAUUAUGUGAAAACGGGAAAUUUGGACCCUCAGGAUGUUAUCGGUUGGCGUACCGGGUUCGGAGAGGAAAUCCCCAAUCCCAAGGAAAGGGAGAUAGUUGUUUUCGUCGAACACCUUGAGCGGGGUUUUAAGCUGCCUGGAUCGAAGUUCCUUAGAGAUGCCAUGGCUUUCAUGAACGUCCGCCUCCAGGAUCUAGGACCCAAUUCGAUAAGCAACCUAUGCCAGUUCCAAGUGUUUUGUGAGGCUUACCUGCGGAUGGAAUGUUGGGGAACGUCGCAUGGGAAACAAAAAUUUUCCUACGCGCACGAAGACCUAUCAUGGUGAUGUCCAUCUAUGAGAGGGGAUGAGUGAUCUACGUACCCUCGUAGACCGUACAGCAGAAGCGUUAGAGAACGCGGUUGAUGUAGUGGAACGUCCUCACGUCCCUCGAUCCGCCCCGCGAACAAUCCCGCGAUCAGUCCCACGAUCUAGUACCGAACGGACGACACCUCCGCGUUCAGCACACGUACAGCUCGACGAUGAUCUCGGCCUUCUUGAUCCAGCAAGAGAGACGGAGAGGUAGAAGAGUUCUCCGGCAGCGUGACGGCGCUCCGGAGGUUGGUGAUGACCNNNNNNNNNNNNNNNNNNNNNNNNNNNNNNNNNNNNNNNNNNNNNNNNNNNNNNNNNNNNNNNNNNNNNNNNNNNNNNNNNNNNNNNNNNNNNNNNNNNNUUAUAUGGUUGGUUACCGAAUGUUGUUCGGAGUCCCGGAUGAGAUCACGAACGUCAUGAGGGUUUCCGGAAUGGUCCGGAAACGAAGAUUGAUAUAUAGGAUGACCUCAUUUGAUUACCGGAAGGUUUUCGGAGUUACCGGGAAUGUACCGGGAAUGACGAAUGGGUUCCGGGAGUUCGACCGGGGGGGGGGGGGGGGCAACCCACCCCGGGGAAGCCCAUAGGCAUUGGGGGUGGCGCACCAGCCCUUAGUGGGCUGGUGGGACAGCCCAAAAGAGCCCUAUGCGCCAUAGGAAGAAAAAUCAAAGAGAAAAGAAAAAAAAGAGGAGGUGGGAAAAAGGGGAAGGACUCCUCCUUCCAAACCAAGUUGGACUCGGUUUGGAAGGGGAGAACUCCCCCCUUGGCUCGGCUGAAGUCCUUAGGGGUCCUUGGAUCCCAAGGAAAGGCUCCCCCUCUUUCCCCUAUAUAUACGGAGGUUUUAGGGCUGAUUUGACACAACUUUGCCACGGCAGCCCGACCACAUAUCUCCACGGUUUUACCUCUAGACCGCGUUUCUGCGGAGCUCGGGCGGAGCCCUGCUGAGACGAGAUCAUCACCAACCUCCGGAGCGCCGUCACGCCGCCGGAGAACUCUUCUACCUCUCCGUCUCUCUUGCUGGAUCAAGAAGGCCGAGAUCAUCGUCGAGCUGUACGUGUGCUGAACGCGGAGGUGCCGUCCGUUCGGCACUAGAUCAUGGGACUGAUCGCGGGACGGUUCGCGGGGCGGAUCGAGGGACGUGAGGACGUUCCACUACAUCAACCGCGUUCACUAACGCUUCUGCUGUACGAUCUACAAGGGUACGUAGAUCGAACAUCCCCUCUCGUAGAUGGACAUCACCAUGAUAGGUCUUCGUGCGCGUAGGAAAAUUUUUGUUUCCCAUGCGACGUUCCCCAACAGUGGCAUCAUGAGCUAGGUUCAUGCGUAGAUGUCUUCUCGAGUAGAACACAAAAGUUUUUGUGGGCGGUGAUGUGCGUUUUGCUGCCCUCUUUAGACUUUUCUUGAUUCCGCGGUAUUGUUGGAUUGAAGCGGCUUGGACCGACAUUACUCGUACGCUUUCGAGAGACUGGUUUCAUCGCUACGAGUAACCCCGUUGCUCAAAGAUGACUGGCAAGUGUCAGUUUCUCCAACUUUAGUUGAAUCGGAUUUGACCGAAGAGGUCCUUGUAUAAGGUUAAAUAGCGAUUCAUAUAUCUCCGUUGUGGUCUUUGCGUAAGUAAGAUGCGAUCCUACUAGAUACCCAUGGUCACCACGUAAAACAUGCAACAACAAAAUUAGAGGACGUCUAACUUGUUUUUGCAGGGUAUGCUUGUGAUGUGAUAUGGCCAACGAUGUGAUGUGAUAUAUUGGAUGUAUGAGAUGAUCAUGUUGUAAUAGAUAAUAUCGACUUGCACGUCGAUGGUACGGCAACCGGCAGGAGCCAUAGGGUUGUCUUUAAACUAACGUUUGUGCUUGCAGAUGCGUUUACUAUUUUGCUAGGAUGUAGCUUUAGUAGUAAUAGCAUGAGUAGCACGACAACCCCGAUGGCGACACGUUGAUGGAGAUCAUGGUGUGGCGCCGGUGACAAGAAGAUCGUGCCGGUGCUUUGGUGAUGGAGAUCAAGGAGCAUGUGAUGAUGGCCAUAUCAUGUCACUUAUGAAUUGCAUGUGAUGUUAAUCCUUUUAUGCACCUUAUUUUGCUUAGAACGACGGUAGCAUUAUGAGGUGAUCUCUCACUAAAAUUUCAAGACGAAAUUGUGUUCUCCCCGACUGUGCACCGUUGCGACAGUUCUUCGUUCCGAGACACCACGUGAUGAUCGGGUGUGAUAGACUCAGCGUUCACAUACAACGAGUGCAAAACAGUUGCACAUGCAGAACACUCGGGUUAAGAUUGACGAGCCUAGCAUGUGCAGACAUGGCCUCGGAACACAUGAGACCGAAAGGUCGAGCAUGAAUCGUAUAGUUGAUAUGAUUAGCAUAGAGAUGCUUACCACUGAAACUAUUCUCGACUCACGUGAUGAUCGGACUUGAGAUAGUGGAUUUGGAUCAUGUACCACUCAAAUGACUAGAGAGAUGUACUUUUGAGUGGGAGUUCUUAAGUAAUAUGAUUAAUUGAACUAAUUGUCAUGAACAUAGUCUAAUGGUCUUUGCGAAUUACGAUGUAGCUUGCGCUAUAGCUCUACUGUUUUUUAUAUGUUCCUAGAGAAAAUUUAGUUGAAAGUUGAUAGUAGCAAACUUUGCAGACUAAGUCUGUAAAACCGAGGAUUGUCCUCGUUGCUGCGCAGAAGGCUUAUGUCCUUAAUGCACCACUCAGUGUGUUGCACCUCGAGCGUCGUCUGUGGAUGCUGUGAACAUCCGACAUACACGUUUCUGAUGACUACACGAUAGUUCAGUGCAAAAUACUUAAUGGCUUAGAAGCAAGGCGCCGAAAACGUUUUGAAACGUCACGGAACAUAAGUGAUGUUCUAAAGAGAUGAAAUUGUGAUUUCAUGCUUGUGCCCUUGUUAAGAGGUACGAGACCUCCAACAAGAUUCUUUGUCCACAAAGUAAAGGAGAAAAGCUCAAUCGUUGAGCGUGUGCUCAGAUUGUCUGAGUACGACAAUCGCUUGAAUCAAGUGGGAGUUAAUCUUCUAGAUAAGAUGGUGAUGGUUCUCCAAAGUCACUGCCACCAAGCUGUGAGAGCUUCCGUGAUGAACUAUAACAUAUCAAGGAUAGAUACAAUGAUCCUUGAGCAAUUCGCGAUGUUUGACACUGCGAAAGUAGAAAUCAAGUAGGAGCAUCAAUAGUUGAUGGUUAUUAAAACCACUAAGUUUCAAGAAAGGCAAGGGCUAGAAGGGAUACUUCGUGAAACGGCAAAACAGUUGCUGCACUAAUGAGGAGACCCAAGAUUAAACUCAAACCCGAGACUAAGUGCUUCUGUAAUGAGGGGAACAGUCACUGAGGCGGAGCAACUCUAGAUACUUGGUAGAUAAGAAGGCUGGCAAAAGUCGAAAGAAGUAUAUUUGAUAUACAUGAUGUUGAUGUGUACUUUACUAGUACUCCUAGUAGCAUGAGGGUAUUACCGGUUCGGUUGCUAAGUGAUUAGUAACACGAAAUGAUAGCUACGGCGUAAACGGAGACUAGCUAAAGGCGAGGUGACGAUACGUGUUGGAAGUGUUUCCAAGAUUGAUAUGAUCAAAACAUUGCACGCUCCCUCUACCAUCGGGAUUGGUGUUAAACCGAAAUAAUUGUUAUUUGGUGCUUGCGUUAAGCAUGAACAUGAUUGAAUCGUGUUUAUUGCAAUACGAUUAUUCAUUUAAAGAGAAUAAUGGUUACUCUAUUUGCUUGAAUAAUCACCUUCAAUAGUUUAUUGAAUCUCGAUCGUAGUGUUACACAUGUUCAUGAUAUUGGUGCCAAAAGAUGCGACGUAAUGAUGAUAAUACUACUUACUUGUGGCACUGCCGCUUGAGUCAUGUUGGUAUAAAUUGCAUGAAGAGGCUCCAUGCUGAUGGAUCUUUAUACUCACUUGAUUUUGAAUCACUAGUGACAUGCAAAUCAUGCCACAUGAGCAAGGCCUUGUUUUCAUUGAGAUGAAACAAGAUAGUAACUUGUUGGAAGUUAUACAUUUUGAUGUAUGCAGUCCAAUGGGUGCUGAGGCACGCAGUGGAUAUCAUUAUGUUCUUACUUCAAUGACGAUUUGAGCAUAUACAAGAGUAUUUACUUAAUGAAUCACAAGUCUGAAAUAUUGAAAAGUUCAAUUCUGUUUCAGAGUGAAGUUCGUCGUAACAAGAGGAUAAACUGUCUACGAUAUGAUCAUAGAAAUGAAUAUCUGAGUUACGAGUUUUGGUACGCAGUUAAGACAAUGUGGAAAUUGUUUCGCAGUUCAUACCACCUGGAACAUCAUAGUGUGAUGAUGUGUCUGAAUGUCAUAGCCACGCACUAUUUGGUAUGGUGCAUGUUAUGAUGUCUCUUAUCGAAUUACCACUAUCGUUUAUGGGUUAUGCAUUAGAGACAACCGCAUUCACUUUAAAUAGGGCACCGCGUAUUUCCGUUGAGAUGACACAGUAUAGACUGAGAUUUAGAGAAAUCUAAAACUGUCGUUUCUUGAAAGUUUGGGGCUUCGACACUUAUGUGAAAAAGUUUCAGUCUGAUAAGCUCGAACCCAAAGCGGAUAAAUGCAUCUUCAUAAGAUAUCUAAAACAGUUGGGUACAUCUCCUAUCUCAGAUCCGAAAGCAAAGUGUUUGUUUCUAGAAACGGAUCCUUUCUCGAGGAAAGGUUUCUCUCGAAAGAAUUGUGCGGGAGGGUGGUAGAACUUGAUGAGGUUAUUGAACCAUCACUUCAACCAGUGUGUAGCAGGGCGCAGGAAGUUGUUCCUGUGGCGCCUACAUCAAUUGAAGUGAAAGCUGAUGAUGGUGAUCAUCGAGCAUCGGAUCAAGUUACUACAAACCUCAUAGGUUGACAAGGUCGCAUACUACUGCAGAGUGGUACGGUAACCCUGUCUUGGAGGUCAUGUUGUUGAGAAACAGUGAACCUACGAGUUAUGAAGAAGGCAAUGGUGGGCCCGGAUUCCGACAAAUGGCUGGAGGCCAUGAAAUCCGAGAGAGGAUCCAUGUAUGAAAACAAAGUGUAGACUUUGGAAGAACUACUUGAUGGUCAUAGGACUAUUGAGUAAAGAUGGAUCUUUAAAAGGAAGACAGACGAUGAUGGUGAUAAAUCACUAUUAAGAAAAGCUCGACUUGUCGCAAAGAUGUUUCCGACAAGAUCAAACAGUUGAGUAUGAUGAGACUUUCUCACUCGUAGUGAUGCUAAAAGUCUGUUAGAAUUAUGUUAGUAGUUGCUGCAUUAUUUAUGAAAUAUUGCACAUAGGAUGUCAAAACAUUGUUUCCUCGAUGGUUUCCUUGAGCAAACAUUGUAUGUGAUACAACCAAGAGGUUUUGUCGAUCCUAAAGAUACUAGCAAGUAUGCAAGCUCCAGCGAUCCUUCAAUGGACUGGUGCAAGCAUCUCGGAGUUGGAAUAUACACUUUGAUGAGAUGAUCAAAGAUUUUGGGUUUUGUACAAGGUUUAUGAGAAACUUGUAUUUCCAAAUAAGUGAGUGGGAGCACUAUAGAAUUUCUGAUAAGUAUAUGUGGUUGACAUAUUGUGGAUCAGAACUAAUGUAGAAUUUCUGUAAAGCAUACAAGGUUGUUUGAAAGGGUUUUUCAAAGGAAUACCUGGAUUGAGCCACUUGAAUGUUGAGCAUCAAAGAUCUAUGGAGAUAGAUCGAAAGCGCUUAAUGGAAGUUUCAACAAGAUGCAUGCCUUGACAAGUUUUUGAAGGAGUUCAAAAUAGAUCAGCAAAGAAGGAGUUCUUGGUUGCGUUGUAAGGUGUGAGUUUGAGUAAGACUCAAAACCUGACCACGGCAGAAUAAAGAGAAUAGACGAAGGUCGUCUUCUAUGCCUUAAGCCGUAGACUCUAAAGUAUGCCAUGCUGAGUACCGCACCUGAUGUGUGCCUUACAGCAAGUCUGUUAAGAGGUACACAGAGUGAUCCAGGAUUGAAUCACUGAUCAGCGGUCAAAGUUAUCCUUAGUAACUAAAUAGACUAAGGAAUUUUUCUCGAUUAUGGAGGUGGUUAAAGAGUUCGUCGUAAAGGUUUACGUCGAUUGAAGCUUUGACACUAAUCCGAAUAACUAUGAGUAGUGAAACAGAUUCGUAUAGUGGAGUAGAUAUUUGGAGCAUUUCCGAAUAGCACGUAGCAGCAGCAUCUAUAAGAUGACAUAAAGAUUUGUAAAGAACGCACGGAUCUGAAAGUUUCAGAACCGUUGACUAAAACCUCUCUCACGAGCAAGACGUGAUCAGACCCCAUAACUAUAUGGGUGUUAGAUUCGUCGAAAUCACAUGGUGAUGUGAACUAGAUUAUUGACUCUAGUGCAAGUGGGAGACUGUUGGAAAUAUGCCCUAGAGGCAAUAAUAAAUUAGUUAUUAUUAUAUUUCUUAGUUCAAGAUAAUCGUUUAUUAUCCAUGCUAUAAUUGUAUUGAUUGGAAAAAUAGUGCAUGUGUGGAGACAUAGACAAAACACUGUCCCUAGUAAGCCUCUUGUUGACUAGCUCGUUGAUCAAAGAUGGUCAAGGUUUCCUUACCAUAGGCAAGUGUUGUCACUUGAUAACGGUAUCACACCAUUAGGAGAAUCAUGUGAUGGACUAGACCCAAACUAAUAGACGUAGCAUAUUGAUCGUGUCAUUUUGUUGCUACUGUUUUCUGCGUGUCAAGUAUUUGUUCCUAUGACCAUGAGAUCAUAUAACUCACUGACACCGGAGGAAUGCUUUGUGUGUAUCAAACGUCGCAACGUAACUGGGUGACUAUAAAGAUGCUCUACAUGUAUCUCCGAAGGUGUUCGUUGAGUUAGUAUGGAUCGAGACUGGGAUUUGUCACUCCGUGUGACGGAGAGGUAUCUCGGGGCCCACUCGGUAAUACAACAUCACACACAAGCCUUGCAAGCAAUGUGACUUAGUGUAAGUUGCGGGAUCUUGUAUUACGGAACGAGUAAAGAGACUUGCCGGUAAACGAGAUUGAAAUAGGUAUACGGAUACUGACGAUCGAAUCUCGGGCAACUAACAUACCGAAGGACAAAGGGAAUGACAUACGGGAUUAUAUGAAUCCUUGGCACUGAGGUUCAAACGAUAAGAUCUUCGUAGAAUAUGUAGGAUCCAAUAUGGGCAUCCAGGUCCCGCUAUUGGAUAUUGACCGAGGAGUCUCUCGGGUCAUGUCUACAUAGUUCUCAAACCCGCAGGGUCUGCACACUUAAGGUUCAACGUUGUUUUAUGCGUAUUUGAGUUAUAUGGUUGGUUACCGAAUGUUGUUCGGAGUCCCGGAUGAGAUCACGGACGUCACGAGGGUUUCCGGAAUGGUCCGGAAACGAAGAUUGAUAUAUAGGAUGACCUCAUUUGAUUACCGGAAGGUUUUCGGAGUUACCGGGAAUGUACCGAAAAUGACGAAUGGGUUCCGGGAGUUCGACCGGGGGGGGGGGGCAACCCACCCCCGGGAAGCCCAUAGGCAUUGGGGGUGGCGCACCAGCCCUUAGUGGGCUGGUGGGACAGCCCAAAAGAGCCCUAUGCGCAUUGGAAGAAAAAUCAAAGAGAAAAAAAAAGAGGAGGUGGGAAAGGAAAGAAGGACUCCACCCACCAAGCCAAGUAGGACUCGGGUUUGGGGGGGGGGGGAGACCUUCCCCCCUUGGCUCGGCCGACCCCCUUGGGGCUCCUUGAGCCCCAAGGCAAGGCCCCCCUCUCCCACCUAUAUAUACGGAGGUUUUAGGGCCAAUUUGAGACGACUUUUCCACGGCAGCCCGACCACAUACCUCCACGGUUUUUCCUCUAGAUCGCGUUUCUGCGGAGCUCGGGCGGAGCCCUGCUGAGACAAGAUCAUCACCAACCUCCGGAGCGCCGUCACGCUGCCGGAGAACUCUUCUACCUCUCCGUCUCUCUUGCUGGAUCAAGAAGGCCGAGAUCACCGUCGAGUUGUACGUGUGCUGAACGCGGAGGUGCCAUCCGUUCGGCACUAGAUCGUGGGACUGAUUGCGGGACGGUUCGCGGGGCGGAUCGAGGGACGUGAGGACGUUCCACUACAUCAACCGCGUUCACUAAUGCUUCUGCUGUGCGGUCUACAAGGGUACGUAGAUCGAACAUCCCCUCUCGUAGAUGGACAUCACCAUGAUAGGUCUUCGUGCGCGUACGAAUUUUUUUUGUUUCCCAUGCGACGUUCCCCAACAGCCGCCACCGCCGGGCUGCGGGGUGCCGCGUGGGCAACGCCCGGCCGCGCCCGCCGGCGGCAACGGCGAGGGGGAGGGGAGGCGGCGGCUCGCUGGGAGGGGAAGGGGAGGGGAGCCGCCCCGGUCGCCUCGCUCGGGGAGGGCGACGCGGGGGGCCGCGAGGGGGCUAGUUUGAGUGUUUGUUACAUGGCUGCCCCUAUAUAGAUGUUUUUACUUUUCAAUUUAAUACUCCUCUGUUGCAAAAUAAAUGACAUAAAUUUUGUACUAAAGCAACGACACUUAUUUUAAAACGGAGGGCCGGAUAGAUGUUUACAAAACACAAACUUAAAAGGUUUUGAUUUUUCUUUUGUGAGCAUUUUUUAUUUAAACGAACAAUAAACGAACAUUUUUUUAAACGAACAAGUUUUUUAUUUAAUAGAUAUUGCGAAAUUCAAUUAUAUUGAUGUUAGCAUUUUUUCUAUUAAAACAAUAUUUUUGACAUAUUUGUUAAAAAAAUAAGAAUAUUUAUACAUUAUGAACAAAAUUAAAAAAAGAAAACAUUUUAUGAAAUUUGAACACAUUAUUAUAAGUGAGCAUUUUUUAAAUAUAAAUGAAAAAAAUAAAAAAGACAAAAAAAACCUGUCACCGGACUUUCUAGAAUCUAGCGGCAAUAGUCGUCGUGAAAUCAACGGUUAUGUCCAUGGAUGGUGCUUCAGGCUGAGCUACAUGGAGGUAUGACUUGAUUCAUACCAUCUUCUUACUAACCGAUGCGUAAGCUAUCCUUGCUAUACCACUAUGCACCAAGAAUGUGGAUGAUUUUUGGUCUUGAGCUGCGAAAGGAAAGGGAUUUUCACUGUUCGUUCUGCUUAUCAUAUGAUUUUGAACACUAAGUUCCACAGGAAGAAUUGGCUGAGGAGAACGGCGGGCAAGGCAUGGAUGUCCUUUUGGAAAGUUAAAGUUCCAUCCAAACUGAAAGUUUUCUGCUGGCGCCUGGCUCAACACUCGAUCCCUUCUGCGCAUGUUCUUCACCAUCGGCACAUGGCCGAUUCUUCGCGAUGCAUGUUGUGUGGGAUGCAGGACUCGUGGCAACAUGCUCUCCUAAGCUGCACUAUGUCACGUUCUAUUUGGUCUUUGACCAAUGAGAACCUUGUUCAUCAACUGAGUAUGAACCAAGACAGCAAUGCCAAAAGUUGGAUUUUCGUCAUGCAAGAACAACUUCCUGAGAAGGAGUUCCUGAGUUGUCUGGUCACCCUCUGGACUACCUGGAGAGCUCGAAGGAAGGCAAUAUAUGAAGACAUCUAUCUGAGCCCUUUAUCGACCCACCAUUUUAUCACUUCCUUUCUGGCAGACCUUGAGACAGUUGACAGCUUCGGCUCUUCAAGGAUUGCAGGCCGGGCUCCUCCCAUAGUAAAACCUACGGGCUGGCAAAAGCCGCCAAUGAACCUCACCAAGCUCAACACUGAUGCAGCGGUCAGCAAUAACAAGCGCUAUUGCGCUGUUGCAGCAGUCUGCCGGUCAGAAGGCGGGUCUAUUCUUGGGUGCUUCGUUGAUCGUCUUUUGAGGUAUCUAUGAUCCACCUACACUAGAGGCCUUGGCUGUCCGAGAGGCUCUAGCGCCAGCAGAAGAUCUCAAUCUGCAGCGGAUCCAUGUUGUAACUGAUUGCAAAGUGGUGGUGGAUGACAUCAAGCAGAAGAACAUGUCUACGUAUGGAGCCAUUAUACAUGAGAUCAUAGAGUAUAGUAGUACUUUUAUCUUAUGUAAUAUCGUUCAUGAAUUUAGGACCUCGAAUAUCGAGGCUCACAAUCUAGCAAAGCAUGCUUUAAAGAUGGGAGUUGCCGCCAUGUUUGGUUAGGACACCCCAGAAAUAUUUCGUUCGUCCCUGUAAACCUGCUGACGGUUGAAUAAAGCUUUACGAGAUUGUCUAAAAAAAUAUGGGAGUGGGUUGUGGUAUGACUUAUCAACUCAUCCCACUUAUAAGUGCUUAGUGGGUAGGGCACCGGGAAACACAGUAAAAUUUUGAUGUGAUAUCUCAAAUAACCCACAGGGAAUUCACUAGCUAGACUCACUUCUUCUAACCCUCGAUUAGUUCCCUUUUUCUGAUUAAUACAAUAUAUUAAUAUGAUGCAGAUACCAAUUACAGCUAGUCUCUGCAUCAACAAGAUAUCGAAGGACAUCAGAGAAAAAUGAAAAACAAAGACCCAUCACCGUGAUGAAAUACUCGCAACAGCUACGCUAUAACCACCACCAAAGACAACAUCAUACCACAAAAAUGGUUCUUGAAAAACGACGCCUUCAAGAACGAGUCAAUGGACAAGUGUCAUUGUUGUACAAUCAAGAAUCUUUAGUUUUCAUCCUGGAAAAAGUCUGAGAUCCCAAAAACAAUGUCGUCUGCAAGGUCAUUGUCAGGUACAACCAAUAAAGAUCACACCUUGAGCUUUCACCUUGAAAUCGUGUCUUGGUACUCGAGAAGCACCACCGGAAAUGUUGUUUACAUGUGUUGCCCGCCCCCUCUUGCCAUGGCCGCCGCUGCAAGUCCCCAGGACACGACACACAGAAAAAACAUGUGUCAUCACUUUCCAUCAUAACCAAAACUUCUCUACGCCAUUACAAUCCUCCAAUUGCAGCCAGCAUGACUUUCUUCACCACUAUCAAUACCAUGGAAAUAUAUAUUUAAGCUUGAACCAUGGCACUAACAAGACAGCGAAGCUUCACGCCUCGCCUUGAGAAGCCUCUCUGACCGAAGAUGAGGACACGCCCGACUAGAUAAAUUCCAAUCUAGAUAUCCAGUGGUGUCAUGCGCGAAAAGUUGAGAUCUCCGAGAGGAAGACCGGAACUCGCCAAUAUUCAGAUCGAGGGGGCGGCAUGAAGAAGGCCAACGUUUUCGAGCAUGAAGAACAUUAGAGUCAACCACCUUUAUUCUAACCAAGCACGACAAUCGGCCAUCCACCGGAUAACCGAACUCCAGCCAACAUGCUCACCGACAAGCCGAUGAUGCGCCUCCACCUGGCAUCCAUGACCACGACAGGUGGAUGCCCGUAUCCUCGCUGCCCUCGGUCCUCGCCACCUACGCCCAGAUCUGUGCGCACCGUACGUCGACGUCCCUGGUGCCCAGUGAUACGUCCUAAAUGUAUCUACCUUUCCAAACACUUUUGCGUUUGUUUUGAACUUUAAUUUGCAUGAUUUAAAUGCAACUAUCUCUGACUGAUACUGUUUUCAGCAGAACAACCAGGAGUUGUAGCUAUUUUAGACAUGAAGAAAAGCACACCGGAUGACACUGAGAAGCCGAGAGUUGAUGAUACCUUUGGUGGCGAGGGCGUCCUGCGAGACAAUGGCGAGCGAGGCCAGGACCACGCACGGGAACGCGGCCCAGGCCCUGGAAGUGAAAGCCAUGUUGGGAUGGCGUAGCUCUGUUUGUUCGAUCUCUAUCCCUGCAUGCAGCUAUUUUACCCCCUCUAUUUAUAUGUAGGAGCACGUGGUUGUGUCGAUUGCAACAUGUUUGUGUGUGUGUGCACCGGUCCACAAUCAUCUCUAGCAGACUCCUUAAACCGCAGACCUGAAACCGCUGUAUUCAAUUCUCAAAAAACAUGUUUUAAUGGUCGGUAGACUCCUUAAACUUAAAUUGUAUAAUCGAAUAUUCGUUGAUAUUUUCUUCCCAUGUCUUCUUCUCCCUGUCGUCUGUAUCCAUGGUUUACAAGCUCACUCCGACAAACCCGACGAAUAGUGCACGAACUGGUCAAAUAUGUAGCCGUCGGUGUCCAUGAUGGCUCGCAUAUGAAGCUGUAGCUGAGCUAGCUAGCUAGCCAGCUCCUAGCUAGCUUCUCCGACUAGUUCCAUGAUGGAAGCUCUCCGGAGCCCGCUGUGCAAGGGUGGAAUUCCCUUAUCGCGUAGCGUUGAUCGGUUUUCAGGACACCCUCGAUUUGCCUCCAAAUCUAUAAAUAAAAGGGUCAUGGGGUUGGAUUCUCAGUGGCUUGAAAAAUGUUUACGGGUUUGAUCACUUUUACAGGCUCUAUUCGUGGCGUUUUUUGACACCGCAAAAUUAAAAGUGUUAUUUUUUUUAUAGAUUUGAUCAUUUUUAAGAGGUUUUAGCAACGGAUUCGAUCGGUCGUUCAAGAUGCGCCAGGUUGCGCUAGCUCUGGCCUCUGUCGGCGGCUAUUUCCACAAAAAGUCGUUCGAGGCCAACGCAUCGACACACCAACCAUGCACGUCCUUUUCUUGACCGUUCGGGCAGCAAGGAGAGGUGUAUACGCGCUGUGGAUGCUUUGUUUAUCUUGACCCUUUUUGCAGGGUUAAAAUGGGAGGUAUAUACGCCGUGGAUGCUUUGUUUUCCAAAUAGUAUUUGUUCCAUGUUUUCCAAGAGAAAGGUAGAGAGAGGCGGCGGACAUUCCACGCAGGUAGUAGUGCUGCCUAUACAACACAACAUAUAUAGCACCAAAGUAAACACAAAUUACUGUUCUCGUUAGUUGACUGUCAAAAAGAAGAUACUGCUCUCGUUAGUUCACUGUCAAAACGGUGUGAAAGCACGGUGCGAGUGCAUUAACAUGCAUGAGUACGAUGGUGUAAAUGGGUGGGUGUAUCCAUGGACGUUGUAAUUGGUGUUUCUAAAGAAAAUAUAUUAUUCUCCUGACUUUAUCAGAGGGAAGGGAGACACACACGAAGCCAAAGAAGCAAACAACCUGCUAGCUAGCUUCGUACGUAGUCUCGGGCAAUUCGUUAUUCUUUGAAAGCUUCGGCUUCAAUAUUUUCAGUAACUUCUCAAAUCCCUUGUCAGAUAAACCAGUUUCUGCCUUCCAUUUCAAUAGUUCCAGUGUGGUACCGAGCUUUGUGCUGCCAUCUUCAUAAUUUGGGUACAAUAACUUUUUAUGAUCCUUUAGCAUGGCCUCCAACUUCAGCUUCUCCUUUUCUGUAUCGCAUUCUCUCUUUGCAUCAGAAAUGACACGACCAAGACCAUCAAGAGACUCAUUUGAUGCUGGUUGUUCUUCACCUCCUUCUUCAUUGUCUUUCAUUGUAGUAUCACCGUAUUCUUCAGUGAACAUAGGAUAGUUGUCAUCAUCAUCUUCUUAAUUAUCUUCCAUCCUAACCCUCUUUCUCUGUGCAUGGUCCAACAAUAAUAUGUGUGGGCAUGAAACCUCUCUGAAGCAAGUGGAGAUGAAUGGUUUUCGAGCUACAGUACUCCUUCACGUUUCGACAGCCAACACAUGGACAAGGCAUAAAAUUAUCCACUUUGUUUGCCUCUGCCACAUCGAUAAAUUUAUGCAGGCCUGCAAUAAAUCCGGAACCGCGUCGUUCGCCGUACACCCAUCUCUUCUGUGCAUCGAUCUGACAUUAUACAUGAAUAGUGAAAUGACCACCGUAAAUUAACACAUGCAAUAUUUUUGUAUCAAUUACAGAUCAAAAGGAUAAGGUUGCUAACCUCGGUCGAGGAUACCAUUUUGUGUGAAUUUAAGUGUGACUCGGGCAUUAGUCAUCGUACUUCCAUUGGCGGUUUAUCUGUAUUAUGAAAUUAAGUAUAUCAAAAAACCAUUGCAGAACAUCAUGAAUAGAGUAAUGACCAAAUUAAUACAAGUUCAUCAUCACAUUAAAACCAAAACACAGUAGUGAUCAAAUAUUAUUAUUGGAAAAAUAAAUACAUAAAGUUUUCUCAUAAAACAACAUACAACUAAUGUAAAAACAUUUAAAUGCAACAACAAAUGCAAUCAAAACCGCAACUAAGGUAACAAUUGACCCACUAGCAUAAUGAUACCAAGCCUCUUUAUCAAUGGCAUAUUUUAUAAUAUUCUUAAUCUUCGAGCGCAUUUCAUCCAUCUUCAAGCGCAUUGCAUCCAUCUUCAACCGCAUCGCAUCCAUCUUCAUCUUGCGAUCAUCGACGACAUCGGCAACAUGCAACCCCAGUUCCAUAUUCUUCUUCUCAAUUAUUUUAAAUUUUUUCUUCAAGUAAUUGUUUUCUUUUUCAACCAAAAUUUACUUCUCAACCAGAAUUUCUAUGUGGGUUGGAAUUUCCGGUUCACCUACCUCCUAGAUUAAAAAAUAUAUGUCACGUUGGUCGUCAUAAUUGUCACAAACACUAAAUAAAACAAAUAGUUAUAAAAGAUAAUAUAUAUACCACAUCCGAAUAAUGAAAGUAAGUAAUUUAUACAAGCAUCUAUCUAAAUCAUACAAAUAAGAAAAAAAUCAUUUAAAAGGAAGACAAGAACAAGAGGCUCACCACGGUGGUGCUCGCGUUGAGAUCGGCGCGGGUGAUCGACAACGGUGAGGACGGGCACGGUACGGCACCCUACACAUGUGCAGACUCUAAGAAGUUAAUUUGAGCUCAAAUUUUGCAUCUAAAACAAAAUAACUCCCACAUACACUCCUACACUUAAACCCACAAACCACUCUACUUCUAGAGCAUUUAAAAUGAGCUAAACUAAGAUGAAAGGAUGAAGUAGUUAACUUUUUAGAACACUUGUGUACUUGGUGAAGGGCCAAACCUAGACAAAUAUUAAGGAAAAUGGAGCUUGGAGGUCGAGCUUGGAGAGGAGAAAGUUUAAGUAGUGUGGCUCGAGCAUUUCAUUGAACAACUCAUGUGCAUGAACUAGAAGGGUGGCAAGAGCAUGGCAUGCACACCUCAAUAGCCAAAAAUAGAGGAGAGGGUGGCAGGGGCGAGGUUAUAUAUAGGCAGCAAUUUAGUCCCGGUUUUUGUCUAAAACCGGGACUAAUAGCCAACCAUUUAGUCUCGGUUCUGGUCACAAACCGGGACUAAUGCUCCGCGGCACGCCACGUGGAAGUCGCUGGAUCGUUAGUCCCAAUUUUUGCCCCGAACUAGGACUAAUGAAACAAAAUGAAACGGGACCAAUGCCCUGGCAAACUGAACCGGGACCAAUGUCUGGCAUUGGUCCCGGUUUUAGUUCGACCCGGGGCUAAUGGUCUUUUAUGCUCCGGCCGAAAGACCCAUGUUCCACUAGUGAGGGUUGUGCCAAGAAAUGGAAGCACUUCGUGUACAAAUCGGACAAUCUCUUUCGAAGCAUCAAGGUUACUUACGAAAACUCAUCUGUUACAAAAGGGAUUUCAUUUUUUUGAACUUAUUGUAAUUCAAGACUUUUUGUGUGUUCAAAAUGCACCAUUCAAGGCCACAUCAUCAAUUUUCAACACUUUCUGAGUUCAUUUGGUAUUUUUCAUGCAUUUACUAAUUUGUUUUGAGCUAAAUGAACCAGAAAUUAAGAAGCAGUACAAAUGAACUCUGAAUAGCUUGAAAGUUGGCAUGGUAUCAUCAUUUCACCCACAUAGGAUGUGCUAAAAAGAUGAGAGGGUUGCGGCAAAAAACUGAAUGCACUUCGUGUACAAAUCGGACAAUCUCUUUCGAAGUAUUAGGGUUUCUUACGAAAUCUCAUCUGUUACAAAAGGGAUUUUAUUUUUCAAAACUUAUUUGAACUCAAGACUUUUUGUGUGUUCAAAAUGCAUCAUUCAAGGCCACAUCACCAAUUUUCAACACUUUCUGAGUUCAUUUGGUAUUUUUCAUGCAUUUACUAAUUUGUUUUGAGCUAAAUGACCCAGAAAUUGAAAAGCAGUACAAAUAAACUCUGAAUAGGUUGAAAGUUGGCAUGGUAUCAUCAUUUCACCCACAUAGCAUGUGCUAAAAAGAUGAUAGGGUUGCGGCAAAAACUAAAUGCACUUCGUGUACAAAUCGAGCAAUCUCUUUCGAAGUAUUAGGUAUUCUUAUGAAAACUCAUGUGUUACAAAAGGGAUUUCAUUUUUUAAACUUAUUUAAACUCAAGACUUUUUGUGUGUUCAAAAUGCACCCUUCAAGGCCACAUCACCAAUUUAGGGCGAGAAGAAGAGACCUUUAGUCCCGGUUGGUGCCGCCAACCUACACGAAAGGGCAUAUUUCGUGUCGGUUGGUGGCACAAACCGGGACUAAAGGACUAUGCCUGCCACAGCCGUGGUGCGGUUGGAUGUUUAGUCCCACCUCGCUAGCCGAGAGAGCCCGAGAGUGGUUUAUAAGCGCUGGUGCGCUGACCCUCUCGAGCUCCUCUCAACUGUAGGCUUCUGAGCCUAAUUUGUCACUGCUUGUGGGUCUAUUGGGCCUUCUGCGGGCCUGAAUCCUGGCCCAACUCUCUGGUUGGGUCUGUAGUCGUAUUGAGGCCGUGGUGGCCCAGUAGGUGGCAUUUUUUUUAAAAAUCUAUUUUUUGUUUUUUUUUACUUUUUAAAUUUUAUUUUGUGAAUAACUUUAUAAAAAUAGAUUUUUGAGUGAUUCUUUUUCCUUCUAUUUAAUAUUACUGCGUUUUUAUCAUUAUAUUCAACUUGGUAAGUUUUAGGUUAUUUGAAAUGACUUUUUAAUAAAAAACAAAUCUGUUUAUAAAACAAAUUUCAUUAUUUGAAUUUAUUUGAACUGAAUAUUUUUUGUAUAUAUAUGUGGUCGAAAUGUAUGAUAACAUGAAGUUAGAAAGGGCUAAACGAUUUAAAAGUAGCAAAUGAAGUUAGCAAUGGCUAAACCAUUCAAAUUUAGAAACAAUAAUGACACAAACAGAAACUAGACAUAUAUAAAUUGUUCCAAGCAGUACAUAAUAAUACUAGUUCAAAUAGUACAUAAUAAUAGCUAGCAUGGAUAUAUAUACAAUUGUUCGUCAUUGUGAACACUACUCAUCUGGAUUGUCUGAAUCAGAAUGUCCACCUUGUGGGAGGUGACGCUUGCCAUAGUUGGCGACUUAUAUCUUACGUUACAACUCUUAUGAAACGUAUGCAUCUUUUGUUGCAUACUCAAUGUCGAUAGGGUCAAGUGGGGUCCUCUUCCAAACGAUAUGAAAUGGGCAUGCGUUGAUAGGUCAGACGAACCUAGACAGGCCAAAACGAUAUGAAAUGUAUAUUGUAAUGUUGUGACGUGCCACUGCACUCUGCACACUCUAGCGGCAGAAGUCGUGGAGAAAUACAUGGUUAAUUCGGCCCACCAUGCACACCCAUCCUUCUCCUUGACCGCUGGGUUGGUUUCAGUCAGUCGUGUAGCUGCUUGCACCAAGAAAAACCUAGGGGCAACUCGCCACAUUUGACUGACUUUAGCUUCUUUUGCAGUCCACGCCGGGUCAUGCAAUCGAUUACAAACAUCUCGCUGUUUGGAAAAAUAAUAAAAAUUUGAUUGAAAAAGAGGCAAGUGACUUCGAAACCUGUAUUUGCACUAGUAGAAAACAGGGCAUUGAGCCAACCACAUUGGACCCGGAUUGGAUAUAAACCGGUUCUAAAGGGUCUGUUCGCUGGGCCCCCUCCCUGCAGCAAAUGGCCGCAAGGUUUUUGGACCGUUUGCUGCAGGGAGGGGGGCCCAGUGGACAGGCCCUUUAGAACCGGUUUGUAUCACAAACCGGUGCUAAAGGUUUUCUCAUUUUUGUAGCAACUGCGGGGGCCCCGCUGUCAGAUCCUUUAGCACCGGUUUUUGACACAAACUGGUCCUAAAGCCCUCCUCUCCUUCCUCCUCGAGCACCCCUAUAUUCCACCCCAUUUUUUCUAGCUCCAUUUUUUCUAGCUCGAGCUCAACUCCAUUUUUGCUCUCUCCUUCCUCUUGGGAGCUCUAAUCCAUCCCCAUUUUUCUCCACCAUUUGUCAAGAUUGUUGGCACCCAUCGGUCCUACGGUUAGCAUCAACAUUCCCUCUUCCAGUAUCGCAAGUUUUGCUCGUUUUCUUGCUCAUUUUAUUUUUGUUGUGCUAGCUAGGUGUUUGAUGAAAUGCCUAAGCUAGAGAGAGUUCAUCAUUUGUUAUGUAUACAUAUGCAAUUUGAGCUCAAAUUUAAUUAUGAUUUGUGGUUUUUUUUAGUGUCGCGCGCCUUGUCCGCUUCCUCACCGCCGUCGAUCGCCCCGUCACCGACACAACCUUGGUGAGCCUAUUGUUUUUAUUUACCAAAACAAAUUUUGAUUUGUAUGAUUUACAUAUUUACUUGUAUAUAAUUUUCUUAUUGUGUAAGAUUUUUUUUAUAUGUAUAGCGCCAUGGUUUUGAUAUCCGUCCCCGUUGGCCCUCGUCCAGUCUAUGAUUCGGAUGUGGUAUAUUAUCUUUUAUAACUACAUAUUUUCAUUUCCUGAUUAUAUGACAAUUAAUUACGCCGACCAACUUGACAUAGAUAUUUUUAUCUAGGAGGUAGUGGAACCGGAAAUGCCAAUCGACCCUAUUGUUGAGAAGUUACACUUAGUUGAACAAGAAAAUGUUGGUCUGAAAGAAAGAUUGAAAAAAACUGAAGAAAGGUUGGAAAUAACUGAAAGAGAGAAGAUGACCUUGGAAAAGGUUCUUGCCGGUGUCGUCGAUGGUCACAAGAGCGAGAUGGACGCAAUGCGUCUGAAGAUUAGAAAGAUUAGAAAAUAUGCAAUUAGUAAAGAGGCUUGGUAUCAUUAUGCCGUCGGGUCAAUUGUUACCUUUGUUGCGAUUUUGAUCGCAUUUGUUGUUGUUUUUAAAUGCAUUAAUUAGAGAGAGUUUUUAUGGUUGGUUUCAGUGUGUGUUUUUAUGAGAACUAUAUAUGUAUGGUCACUACACUACUUUGGUUUUAACGUGUGAUGAACUUUUUGUAUUAAUUAAUUAAUUUAGUCAUGAUGAUUUAGCAUAAUGGUUUUUGAUAAAUUUAUAUAAUGCAGAUGAACUGGCAAUGGAUGUACAGUGAUCGACGUCGUCCCGAAUUCCUUAAUGGCAUGCAUAGUUUUCUCAAUGUGGCUGAGAAAAACAGGCAGAAUGAAUUUAUUUUUUGUCCAUGUAAAAAAUGCCAGAAUAAGAGGAAUUUCCCUAACUCAAAAACCAUACACACCCACCUGUUGCAAGAAGGCUUCAUGCCCAGAUAUUUUUGUUGGACCAAGCACGGAGAAAGAGGGAUUGUAAUGGAAGACAAUGAAGAAGAAGAGGAUAAUGAUAACUAUCCUAUGUUCGGUGAACACGGUGAUACUGAAAUGGGGGAAGACAAGCCUGAACUUGAGGACAUUGUUGAUGAGUCUGAUGAUGAUCUUCGUCAGGUCAUUCGUGAAGAACAGAUAAACUGCGGAAGUGAAAACAAGAGGUUGAAGUUGGAGCGCAUGUUAGAAGAUCACAAAAAAUUGUUGUACCCAAAUUGCGAAGAUGGCCAGAAAAAGCUGGGCACCACCCUAGAAUUGCUGCAAUGGAGGCAGAGAAUGGAAUAUCUGACAAGGGAUUUGAAAAGCUGCUGAAAAUAAUGAAGAAGAUGCUUCCAAGAGAUAACGUGCUGCCCUGCAGUACGUACGAAGCAAAGAAGGUUGUCUACCCUCUAGGAUUGGAAGUGCAUAAGAUACAUGCAUGCAUCAAUGACUGCAUCCUCUACCGCGGUCAGCACGAGAAUUUAAAUGCCUGCCCGGUAUGCGGUGCAUUUCGGUAUAAGAUCAGGCGAGAUGACCCUGGUGAUGUUGAGGGCGACGACCGCCCCAGGAAGAGGGUUCUUGCCAAGGUGAUGUGGCAUGCUCCUAUAAUACCACGGUUGAAACGUUUGUUCCGAAACAAAGAGCAUGCCAAAUUGCCGCGAUGGCACAAAGAAGACCGUAAGGAAGACGAUAUGCUGAGACAACCCGCUGAUGGGUCGCAGUGGAGAAACAUCGACGAUAAGUACGAGGACUUUGCACGUGACCCAAGAAACUUAAGGUUUGGUCUAAGUACAGAUGGCCUGAAUCCGUUUGGGGAGCAGAGUAGCAGUCAUAGCACCUGGCCCGUGACUCUAUGUAUCUAUAACCUUCCUCCUUGGUUAUGCAUGAAGCGUAAGUUCAUUAUGAUGCCAGUGCUUAUCCCAGGCCCGUCGCAACCCGGCAACAACAUUGAUGUGUACCUGAGGCCACUGGUUGAUGAACUUUUAGAGUUAUGGGCUGACGAAGGUGUACGUGUGUGGGACGAGUACAAACAGGAGAAAUUUGACCUACGAGGGUUGCUGUUUGUAACCAUCAAUGAUUGGCCUGCUCUUAGUAAUAUCUCAGGACAGUCAAACAAGGGAUAUAGCGCAUGCACACACUGUUUAGGCGAGACUGAAAGUAUACAUAUAGGCAAGAAUGUGUACCCGGGGCAUCGUCGAUUUCCUCCAGACAGGCAUCCCGUAAGAAAGAAAGGACAGCAUUUCAAAGGCGAGGCAGAUACACGGAGGAAGCCAACCCUCCCUAAAGGUACUGAUAUAUAUGACAUGGUCAAAGAUAUAAAAGUAAUCUUUGGUAAGGGUCCUGGCGCACAAUCUGUUCCGAAUGACGCCGACAACCACGUAGCCAUGUGGAAGAAGAAAUCUAUAUUCUGGGAACUACCCUAUUGGAAAUUCCUAGAGGUUCGCUCUACGAUCGACGUGAUGCACGUGACAAAACAUAUUUGCGUGAACCUGCUAAACUUAUUGGGCGUGCAUGGGAAGAAGUCGAGAGAUACACCAAAAGCACGGCUGCACCACCAACGUAUGCACGAACGAGACGACCUGAUGAAUCGAGAGAAUUUCAAAGGUCCUGCCAGCUACGCUCUUACCAAGGAAGAGAAGGAGAUCUUUUUCCAAGUCCUGAGCAGUAUCAAGGUCCCGUCUGGCUACUCGUCGAACAUAAAAGGAAUACUAAACCUGGAAGAGAAAAAGUUCCAAAACCUAAAGUCUCAUGACUGCCACGUGAUCAAGACCCAGUUACUUCCGAUUGCAUUGAGGGGGCUUCUGCCAGAAAACGUGCGAGUACCCAUUGUGAAGCUAUGUGCAUUCCUCAACGCAAUUUCUCAGAAGGCAAUCGAUCCAGCAACUCUACCAAGUUUACAGAAGGACGUGGUCCAAUGUCUUUUCAGCUUCGAGUUGGUGUUCCCACCAACCUUCUUCAAUAUUAUGACGCACCUCAUAGUUCACCUAGUCCAAGAGAUUUCCGUUCUCGGUCCUGUAUUCUUACACAAUAUGUUCCCCUUUGAGAGGUUCAUGGGAGUCUUGAAGAAUUAUGUUAAAAACCGUGCUAGGCCAGAAGGAAGCAUAGUCAAGGGCUAUGGAACAGAGGAGGUCAUUGAGUUUUGUGUUGACUUUAUUCCUGACCUGAACCCGAUCGGUGUUCCUCAGUCGCACCAUGAGGGGAGACUGCGUGGAAAAGGCACGCUAGGAAAGAAAUCAAAAACAUGUAUGGACGAGCAAUCUUUCACUCAAGCACACUACAUAGUUCUAGUUAAUUCCAGCUUGGCGGAUCCAUAUAUCCAGGAACACAAGGAUAUUUUACGCUCGGAAUACCCAGAGCAACCUGAAGAUUUCAUUGCUAAAGAACACGCGAAGACUUUCGGCGGUUGGUUGCAAAGACGUCUCAUUAAUGACAACAUUGUUGAAGAUGAGCUAUACUUGUUGGCCAAGCAACCAUCUUCGACUGUAUUGACCUUUAAAGGGUACGAGAUAAAUGGUAACACAUUUUACACGGCAGACCAAGAUAAAAAGAGCACCAACCAAAACAGUGGCGUCCGGUUUGAUGCAAAAGACGACAACGGGCAAAGGGUCACAUACUAUGGUUACAUAGAGCAGAUAUGGGAUCUUGACUACGGACCUUCCUUUAAGGUCCCUUUGUUCUGGUGCAAAUGGUUCAACCUGUCAGGCGUGAAGGUAGACCCGAAGUACGGAAUGACAACAGUGGAUCAGAAGAAUCUUGGGUACGGCAAUGAUCAAUUCGUCCUAGCCAAUGAUGUGGCUUAGGUUUUCUAUGUGGAGGUUGGGUUCGAUGAUUUUUUCCAGAUGUACAAUCAACGUGCCCUCGACAAAGCUAUCGUCAGCUGCUACUGUUUGUAAGUGAUUUAUUUGUGUAAUUUAAUUAUUUAGUUAAGCUCGCGUUCAUUGCCCGUAUAAUUAUCACUCACGAGACAUUCUUUUUGUAUGCUACUAUGCAGAAUGAAGAUUCGUGAAUGCAGGCUGGCAGGAAUCUGGGACUUUGGGUUCAUUGACCCGUAUUCGUUUCAUCAAGAGACAAUAGAAAAGUUCAACAAGGAUACACCGGAUGAUUUGCUAAGGUUUUUGAAGCGACAAAGUACCAAAAAAGAAAUACUUUGGCCCUACGGAUUCAAGUGAGUGUUACUGUCUUGUACACAUUCCAUUUUGCUUACCUGAUGUUAAGUGUAAUUGAUGAGUAUGCAUGACUGCGUGUGUACACGUGCGCAGGUCCCACUUCAUAUUGUUCAUCAUUAGAAUCGAUCAAGGACAAGUUGAAGUCUGGGACCCGUUAACCUGGGACGCUGACAAAUGGAAGAGCGCGCGUCAGAUGCUUCAAAGGUAUAUAUAUAUCGGCCUCUUUCGUUCAUCGGCCUCUUUUUCGUUCAUUUCCUGAUAUCAAGUAAGUAAUAAUUAACUCUUGUAUUCAUUUUUCUUUGUCGGCCAGAGUUUGGCAAAUGUUCAUCAAGGAAGAACCCGGUACAUGGGCAGACAAGCUCCACUUUUAGAUUAACAAAGUAAGUAGUACUACGUACCCUGGUUUCAAUACCAUUACCAUUCUCUUGAUUAUUAUUAAUUUGACUGAAUUAUGUUCUCGUAUAUAGGGCGUCCCGCAACAACCACAUGGCACUGAUUAUUGUGGAUACUACGUUUGCGAGUACAUUCACAGGAUUAUCAAUGAGAAAUCCCGUACUUCCAGAAAUCCAGAGGUACGUAACCGGAUCUUCACAACUUUAUUUAUGUUGCCAUCAAUUAUGUUAGUUUUGUUCAUAACUUAAUUGUUUUCAUCUACUUCUUUUAAAGCUGCAACGAAAGCGGGCGAUGCUAAGACCAAUCCAACGUUGCAAGGCAGUUGCAGAGGAAUUGGCAGGAUUUCUCCUCACGCAAGUCAUAGAUGAAGGCGGAGAAUUUUUCCAUCCUAUGAACCAAUAGCCAGCUCCCUUCUCUAUGCAAGUAUACAACUAUAGGAAACGAACUUCAAAUUAUGUAAUGAUAAUCGGUCCAGUACUUCGUGUUACAUGUAUAUAUGUACUUUUAUUUGGUGCAUCAACAUUUAACCGCAAACACGGAAUCGGAAACACUUAACCGCAAACACGGAAUCGGUGUUUCCGGAUACGUGUUUCCGAUUACGUGUUUCCGAUUCCGUGUUCGUAAAAAACGGAACACGGACACACGGAAUCGGAAACACGGAAUCGGAAAGACGUAAACGGAAAUACGGAACCGGAAACACGUAAACGAAAACCCUGAAAAUACGGAACACGGAAACACCGAAAUACGGAAUCGGAAACCCUGAAAAGAAAAGGAAAAAAAAAGAAAAAAAAAGACAUUAGGACCGGUUGGUGUUACCAACCGGUUCUAAAGGUCCUCCGCCUGCGCACAGUCUUCGGCGCCCACGUGGAGGCAUUUAGAACCGGUUUGUAAGAGACCGGUGCUAAAGGGGGGGGGGGGCUUUAGUCCCGGAUACGUAGCACCGGAUGUGUAUCCGGGUCCAAAGGCCCUUACCAACCGGUUCUAAUACCCCUUUCUCCACUAGUGUUGGUCCUUCGUAGUUAACAGAAUAUACAGACAAUGUACUAGCCAUAAAAAGUUUUGGAGAGAAACAAAGGCACAUAUUCCAUAAAAUCGGACGAUUCACACGGCAUGAAGGAGACCAAGUGUUUCACCCCGGGUAAAACCCAAAUAGAAGCCUCCUAGGUUUAAAAAAAGAAGAUAACCCGGCCUCUGCGUCAGCAUGAUGCAUGCAUCCAUUUUAUUAAGCAAAAUUAGUAGAAAACAAAGUGCAAUAUCUGACAUGAACACUCAAGCAAAGCCCAAAACAAUGAUCAAAAGAGAAAAAUGCGACAUCAGGUGAAACGAUAAUAGGCUACAAUGACUAAACACCUAGCCCAUUAAUUAGCCACCAUUCAAAUUGGUUUAAGAUAACCCAUAUCGCUGUAUUUCAACGGUUGCACCCAGUAAUCAAAAGCUCCCCGGACUCUGCAUGUGUGAGUUACAACCACGCAUGAAUUCAAGUUGUGGCUCUGUAUCAUGUCAUUUCUGCAGUUCCAUAUAGCCUAGAAUAGUGCACAUAUCCCUAUCCGAAUAUGACGUGCUAAAUUUGUUUCCACUCCAUUAAGCCACGUCCUAAAUAACGUCUUCAUACUACGUGGAGGGUUAAUGUUGAAGGGUAUAUGUAAAGUACGCCAUAGUAGUAGGGAAAGCGGACGAUCGAGAAAGAGAUGUUUUAAAGUUUCAUUUUGAUCACAAAAUAAGCAUCUAGAAUUGCCUAUCCAUCUUCUCUUAAUCAAAUUAUCCUUUGUCAAAAUCACUCCCUUACGAAAAAACCAUAUAAAUAUUUUAAUUCAAAGGGACACCUUAAUCUUCCAGAUGUGUAAGGAUAUCAUUAAUGGCCCAGAAUCAAUAAGAUCUAGAUACAUCAAUAAGAUCUAGAAGCCUCCUGGUUAAUUUUAACAGAAACAAUAGUAAGCAUGGAAGAGAUACCACGGAAGACGCGGGCAUUGCCCUCGGUCCAAAUUUCCCACUCCGUGAGUGUUGGGGAUAUUACCUGUUGAUAACCCGCCUUAGUUGGGCCGGGUCACGAAAUCACGCGAUUCAUCUAAGCGUGGUUCGGGCCUUGGCCUGGCAAGACCGAAGGUUGUAUGGCGGUUUACAACUUCCGGAAGGUCUCCAAGCUUUGGAAGAUGGCGAUUUGGAGAUCAUAAAAGUCACGGUUUGUAGAAAGGAAAGUACCUUUGUAAACCCUAGGGACUCGUCCUGUAUAUAAAGGCGAGUCCCAGGGAAGAAGAGGGCAGGUUAGAAAUCAUCGAGUGCUAGGUCUGGCGAGUUACGCCAUCCUUGUAAUCGAAACUCCAUCAAUACAACUCAAAGCAGGACGUAGGCCUUUACCUCUUCACGAGGGGCCGAACCUGGGUAAAUCGCCGUCUCUCUCCCGUUCAACCCCUUUGAGUCGCCACCAAAGUGCGAUGGCUCCAGUACUAAGUCCUUUCACGAGGACAUCUGCCGUGACAAAACCACGACAGUUGGCGCCCACCUUGGGGCCUGCGCACGGUGGAGUUGAGUUCUCAAAGGGAGCCCUACCAGGGUUUGGGAGCUACGCGACGGGGCUCAUGACCCGGAGCCGCCGUGGGAAGAUCUACAUAGACAACCUGCAAUGGGGACCUGAUGGGGUUAUAGUCCUAGGGUAGGGUCAUAGGCCUGCCCUACAUGUCCUACCCAAGGAUUACCCCACACAAAGGACAGGACCUUAAGUCUGCCCUGACUGGAUUAAGGUAUCCCCAUCAUCCAGUCGGUAACAGGCCCAGAAUCAUCCAGUCGGCAACUAGCAUUCGGAGAACACCAGGCUCACCGACUGGAUACACUCGGUACGUCGUAACCUCUCAGGAGUGAAACUGCCGUACGUUUCCGGGUGCAUUUAUUAGCAUUUAGAGCAUACGUUACCUGUAACGUAUGCAUUCAAUCGCCACUACUCCACCCUUGAAUCAGAACCGUUGUGGAGGGCAGCGCACUCUAUAUAAGCCGCCCUCCCCCACUGGUAAAGGGGUUAGAAAAACAUUGUACUCCAUAUUACACUCGGUAACAAGCUCCGAGAGCACUGAGACGUAGGCUAUUACCUCCACCGUAGAGGGGCCUGAACUCAUACAACCUCGCCGUAGCUAGGACUCUGCCCAUCUCAUUAGUACCCUACACAUCUACUGUCAGGCUUAUACCCACGACAGUUGGCACCCACCGUGGGGCAGGCGUCUAAGCGACUUCCGGCGAGUUUGCGACUACUUCCUUUCGUCAUGUCGUCCGGUGGAGAUUCGAGCAUGGGUCACCAGAUCCUCUUCGGUGCUCUCUCCUUCGUCGUCGAUGAUUCGGCGUGGCUUCGGGAGGCACCUCUCGACGUCGAGGCGCUUCCCCGUCGCGGGGCCACGAACUUCUGUGCCGGCGCUCGCGGCGUUCUUCUUCUUCAACAAUCGGAUCCAUUGCCGGCUUGCACCUUCGUCACGCGCCGCAGUAAGCGGUGCCGCAGUCCACGUCUCCAACGUUGGGUGCAACAUGCCCGAGCACGCUAGAUCGCGUCCCCUCAGGUGGCAGUUCUGGAGUCUAUUGUGGUCGCCCCGCGCUCCCAGUGCUCGGGCUCGGUUCCGACUGAGCUCCCUUCCGAGUACGCGGGUCGUGGGCCUGCAGCAGAAGUACACAUGGCUAACUCCCAUGAAGACCCUCGUCAAGCCGACCGAGGUGAAAUCGGCGAAGCAUCCGGUGCGCGCCGUCCGCCUCGUCGUUCUGCCAGUCGACACACUCGGCGGAGCAGCGUGGAGUUGUUCCGCACACCUCUCCUCAACUUGGCCGCGGCUGCCCUGAUUGCCGAUUCCCUCCGGCCGACUGAUUCAGAGGCAGGAAGGGGAAUCGAGCAAAUCCGAGCUCUGUUGCGCACGGCGCAGCAGCAGAAUUCGGCGGUCUCCCAGUCACACAAUCAGAUCCACAAUAGUUUCGUCCAUGCAAACACGCAUCGAUCGGUUCACAGCCCUGGUUCUCAUCAGUAUCGCCGUCGCUCACGCACCCCUCCGACAUCAUGAUGAUCGGCGUUCGGUCGGCGACACUUACGACCCAAGACCCGACGCGAGGGGGCGAAUCGCCUAGCAAAGAGUCGACAGGGGUCGAGCCCACCGCGAUGGUCGCGAUAUGGACCGUCCGAGUGGAAGCAGGACCAUCGUAUCCGGCCCCGAUUGUUUUAGUCGAGCCAUCCGCUCAGCUGAUAUCCCGUCCAACUUCCGAUUGGUAGCGGGAAUCGGUAAAUUCUCAGGGGAGUCCAAGCCUGAAACAUGGCUAGACGACUACCGAGUGGCAGUCCAGAUCGGAGGAGGAGACGACCAUGUCGCUAUGAAGCACCUCCCUCUGAUGCUCGACGGCUCGGCUCGAGCUUGGCUGAACCAGUUGGCCCCCUCAAGCAUUUACAGUUGGGCAGAUUUAGCCCGAGUGUUCAUCAGAACUUUCGAAGGGGCGUGCAAGCGUCCUGCACGUCUUGUGGAGCUUCAACACUGUGUCCAGAAGCCGAAUGAGCCCUUGCGCGACUUCAUCCAGUGAUGGACGACUCUUUACCACACGGUGGAGAACGUCACCGAGCAUCAAGCAGUCUGCGCCUUCAAGGCAGGCGUGCGGUACAGAGAGUUGUACUUGAAGUUCGGUCGAACGGGCGACAUCUCCAUGAGCAAGAUGAUGGAGAUAGCGGCUCGCUACGCAAAUGGCGAAGAAGAGGACCGCAUCCGGAGUGGCAAACACAAGACAGUCGGCGAUGUCGAUGGAGGUAACACUCGGAAGCAGAAACAAAAGGUUCCGCACACACCGCAAGCAGAAGCUGUAGCUGUAACCAGCGCCAAGUUCAAGGGCAAAGGGAAAACACAGUUCACCCCCAAGAAGAAACCUUUCAACAAUCCCAUCGUGGACCAGUCUUGUCCGGUUCACACGAAAAUGGACGAGGAAGGCAACCCCAUAUACGCGAAGCACACCACUCGGCAGUGCCGUCUCUUGAUCCAGGGGUUCAGCGAAGGGCAGCCGAGUAAGAAGAAUCCCGAACAAGAUGAGGAGGACAAGGAGGAUCCGUUCCCCCAAGUCCAUGCAACCCUCAUGAUUUUUGCUGACGUCGAAAGCAAGAGUCGACUGAAGUUGGUGAACAGAGAAGUCAACAUGGCCGUUCCGACUGCCCCCAAGUUUCUCAAAUGGUCUCAGACUGCGAUCACCUUCGACCAGUCAGAUCAUCCAACACAUGUCCCCACCCCAGGAAGGCAGGCUCUGCUCGUCGACCCGGUGGUGGAAGGAGUCCGACUGCGCAAAGUCCUCAUGGACGGCGGUAGCGGACUGAAUAUUAUGUACACCGACACUCUCAAGGGGAUGGGCAUUCCGAUGACCAGACUCAGCGAGAGCAAUAUGCAGUUCCACGGAGUCGUCCCUGGACGGAAGGCUAAAUCACUCGGCCAGAUCGCAUUGGAAGUCAUCUUCGGCUCUAACAAGAACUUUCGCAAGGAGAAGCUCACGUUUGAGGUGGUGGAUUUCCACAACGCUUACCAUGCAAUUCUGGGCCGCCCGGCAUACGUGAGUUUCAUGGCACGCCCGUGCUAUGUGUACUUGAAGUUGAAAAUGCCCGGUCCAAAAGGCGUUAUCACCAUCACCGGCAACCGCCAGCGAGCCGAGGAGUGUCUGCAAGAGGGAUCAUGGAUCGCCGACCAGCAGAUGGCUGUACUCGAGCUCGAAGAGUACAAGAAGACAGUCGACCCUGCCGACUUAAUGCGCUCAAAGAAGCCAGCUUCUGAGUCCGCGUUCCAGUCGGGGGGAGAGACUAAGAAGGUCAGCAUCCACCCGACGGACGAGUCUGCCGUCCCGACGAACACCUCCACCACCCUAGAUCCUAAAUAGGAAGCCGAGCUCACCCAAUUCCUCCGUGAGAACUGGGACAUCUUCGCAUGGAAGCCAUCUGACAUGCCGGGUGUACCUAGGGAGUUGGCUGAGCACCGACUGCAUGUGGAUCCCGCCGCUCGGCCUGUCCGAGAGCGCUUGCGCCGGUCCGCCGCGCACAAGAGGAAGACAAUCGGAGAAGAGGUGGCUAAGCUGCUAGCUGCCAACUUCAUUCGCGAGGUUCACCACUCCGAGUGGCUCGCCAAUGUAGUCAUGGUGCCCAAGAAGGACAAGUCACUUCGAAUGUGCAUUGAUUUCAAGCACCUCAAUAAGGUCUGCCCAAAAGACCAUUUUCCGCUCCCCCGCAUAGAUCAAAUUGUCGAUUCGACUGCGGGAUGCGAGCGUUUGUCAUUUCUUGAUGCCUACUCGGGUUAUCAUCAGAUCCGUCUGUAUGGUCCCGAUGAGUUGAAAACAGCUUUCAUCAUCCCGUUUGGGUGCUUCUGCUACAUCACUAUGCCUUUCGGUCUGAAGAAUGCAGGAGCUACCUUUAUGCGCAUGAUCCAAAAAUGUCUCCUCGACCAGAUCGGUCGCAAUGUGGAGGCAUACAUGGAUGAUAUCGUAGUCAAGUCACGCAAAGGUUCCGUCCUGUUGACUGACUUGGCAGAAACAUUCGCCAACCUUCGUAGGUACGAUAUCAAGCUAAACCCAGCCAAAUGUUCAUUCGGUGUUCCCAGCGGAAAGUUACUCGGUUUCUUCGUUUCCGAACGAGGGAUCGAUGCUAACCCCGAAAAGAUCGGGACCAUCGUCCGAAUGGAGAGGCCGGUCAGAAUACACGAUGUUCAACGGCUCACAGGUUGCCUAACGGCUUUGAGCAGGUUCAUCAGUCGACUCGGCGAAAAAGCACUUCGUCUGUACCGACUCAUAAAGAAGUCAGAUACCUUCGAGUGGACAGACGAAGCCCAAGUCGCAUUCGACGACCUCAAAGUCCUACUUUCCACCCAGCCGGUUCUUACUGCUCCGCUCAGUAAAGAGCCCCUUCUUCUAUAUAUCGCGGCUACAAAUCAAGUCGUCAGUACUGUUCUUACAGUCGAGCGAGAAGAAGAAGGCAAAGCAUACAAAGUUCAGCGGCCAGUGUACUACGUCUCCGAAGUCCUGACGCCUUCCAAGCAGAGGUAUCCCCAUUAUCAAAAGCUUAUCUAUGGGAUCUAUAUGACUGCAAAGAGGGUGGCCCAUUAUUUCCAAGACCACUCGGUAUCUGUCGUUUCUGAUGCUCCGUUGUCGGAAAUUCUCCACAACCGGGGCGCAUCGGGCCGAGUGGCGAAGUGGGCCAUGGAGAUGCUGUACUGCGACAUCAAGUUCGAGGCCAAGAAAGCUAUUAAGUCUCAAGCCCUGGCUGACUUUAUAGCAGAAUGGGUAGAACUACAGCAACCGACUCACAUCUACUCGGCUCAUUGGACAAUGGUCUUCGAUGGGUCUAAGAUGUUGAAUGGAUCCGACGCUGGGGUUGUGAUCAUAUCGCCAAAGGGCGACAAGCUCAAGUACGUGCUUCAGAUACACUUUGAUUCCUCUAAGAAUGAGGCAGAGUACGAAGCUCUUCUCUACGGAUUGCGCAUGGCCAUCUCACUCGGCGUCCGUCGCCUGAUGGUCUACGGCGAUUCAGACUUGGUGGUCAACCAAGUGAUGAAAGAGUGGGACGUAAGGAACCCCACCAUGACGACAUACUGCAAUGCAGUCAGGAAGCUGGAGAAGAAGUUUGAAGGUCUAGAACUUCAUCAUGUUCCAAGACUGAAGAACCAAGCAGCGGACGAGUUGGCGAAACUCCGAUCCACUCGGAGACCAGUCCCGAGUGAUGUCUGCCUUGAGCACCUCCAUAUUCCUUCAGUAAAAGAAGAUCCCUUCAUGGAAGAAUCAGUACAACCCAAGAGCGCAACAGAUCCGACUGAAGUCGAUGUGCCUGCUGUGGUUGAUCUGGUCACAGAGAUUCUGGUAAUCAUUCCCGAUUGGAUUGUGCCGAUUAUGGCAUAUAUCCUCAGACAAGAACUUCCAGAAGAUGAAGUCCAAGCCCGGCAAAUAGUUCGCAGGUCGAAGGCAUUCACUGUCAUUAACGAUCAAUUGUACAAGGAGAGUGUUUCAGGCGUCCUCCAACGUUGCAUUUCCCCCAGAGGAAGGACAGUUGAUCCUAGAGGAUAUCCACUCGGGAACCUGUGGCCAUCACGCUUCUUCGAGAGCAAUUGUCGCCAAGGCGUUCAGAGCUGGAUUCUUCUGGUUGCAGGCUAACGAGAUGGCCAAAGCUAUGGUCGAUCGAUGCGAAGGCUGUCUGUUCUACUCCAACAAGUCCCACAAGCCAACAUCUGCACUAAAGACAAUCCCACUUGUGUGGCCAUUUGCAGUUUGGGGAUUAGACGCAGUCGGACCAUUCAAGACAGGCCAAGGAGGCUACACACAUCUGUUGGUGGCAGUCGACAAGUUUACAAAAUGGAUAGAAGCCAAGCCCAUCAAGAAACUCGACGCCUCCACAGCCGUGAAGUUUGUCAGAGACAUCAUCUCCAGAUUCGGAGUGCCUCACAGCAUAAUCACGGACAAUGGGACAAACUUCGACUCGGACGGAUUCAAAGGUUUCUGUGCGAGUCAGGGUAUCCGAGUGGAUUUUGCUUCCGUUGCACAUCCGCAAUCCAAUGGACAAGCUGAGCGUGCGAAUGGACUUAUCCUUCAAGGUUUGAAGCCUUGACUCUUGCGGGAGGUAGGACAUGCUGCUGGUGCAUGGGUAACCGAGUUACCUUCAGUACUUUGGGGCCUCCGCACCACUCCGAACAGAUCAACAGGGCGAUCACCGUUCUUUCUCGUCUAUGGAGUAGAAGCGGUCCUUCCGAGUGACCUGCUUCACAAUGCCCCGCGAGUCGAACUCUUCUCCGAAGCCGAAGCAGAACAAGCAAGGCAAGAUGGAGUCGAUCUUCUAGAGGAGGAGCGCGAGAUGGCACUUACUCGCUCAACAAUUUACCAGCAAGAUCUGCGACGUUUUCAUGCACGACAUGUCAGGAGCCGCACGUUCCAAGCUGGCGAUUUGGUGCUCCGAGUGGAUCAGCAAAGACCACACAAGUUGGCUCCGGCCUGGGAAGGGCCUUUCAUCAUUUCCAAGGUGCUGAACAACGGGGCAUACAGACUCUACAACAUUCAGAGGGAGACAGACGAGCCAUGCGCAUGGAACGGAGACCUCCUCAAGCGUUUUUAUACGUGAUCGUCGACUGAAGCAGUGUAACGAACAAGUUUUGACGAAAUAAUAUACAGCAGAUUUAGUUUCUUUUGCAGAUUCAGAGUUCUUCCGCGGUUGCAGACUACAGUCACACACACAAAAAAACUUAGCCGCGAUCCCGAAUCGCCUAAGUAAUACUUUCUUCGAGUGUGCACUAUACGUCGCACUGGGGGACUUAGCUGUGAUCAAGAAUCACCUAAGUAAUACCUUCCUCCGAGUGUGCACUUCACGUCGCACUCGGGGGACUUAGCUGCGAUCCUGCAUCGACCUAAGUACUAACUUCCUUCGAGUGUGCACUAUACGUCGCACUCGGGGUCUUAGCUGUGAUCAAGAAUCACCUAAGUAAUACCUUCCUCCGAAUGUGCACUUCACGUCGCACUCGGGGACUUAGCUGCGAUCCUGCAUCGCCUAAGUACUAACUUCCUUCGAGUGUGCACUAUACGUCGCACUUGGGGACUUAGCUGUGAUCAAGAAUCACCUAAGUAAUACCUUCUCCGAGUGUGCACUUCACGUCGCACUCGGGGACUUAGCNAACCUCCUUCGAAUGUGCACUAUACGUCACACUCGGGGGACUUAGRUGUGAUCAAMAAUCACCUAAGUAKUACCUUCCUUCGAGUGUGCACUAUUCGUCGCACUCGGGGACUUAGCUGCGAUCCUGUAUCGCCUAAGUACUAACCUCCUUCGAGUGUGCACUAUACGUCACACUCGGGGACUUAGUUGUGAUCAAGAAUCACCUAAGUACUAAACUCCUUCGAGUGUGCACUAUACGUCGCACUCGGGGACUUAGCUGUGAUCAAGAAUCACCUAAGUACUACCCUCCUCCGAUUUUGUACUAUACGUCGCACUCGGGGACUUAGCUGCGAUCCUGAAUCGCCUAAGUAAUAACUUCCUCCGAGUGUGCACUAUACGUCGCACUCGGGGACUUAGUUGUGAUCAAGAAUCAUCCUAAGUACUAACCUCCUCCGAGUGUGCACUAUACGUCACACUCGGGAACUUAGCUGUGAUCACGAAUCACCUAAGUCUUAAUAUUCUCCGAGUACACACUAAGUGUUGAACUCGAAACAGCAUUCAAGCAAAAUACUAAAUGUUUUCAUUGCGACUCCAACAGUCUAGAAACAAUAAUUGACUCGGUGCGGAUCAAGCUUACCCGCACCGAUUUAAAAGUAUGACGGCCAACAGAAGUGGCCAGAGUAUCUUACAGGCAAACACUCGGCAUACCGAGGAUAAAGUUUGAUCAUGCGUCAGCUGGGCCGGCAUCAGGACUGGAGGGCUCCACAAAAGUAUCCAGGUCGAUUCCAUCAGCAAUGCGGGUAGCAGUCUCCAGGAAUGUCUCCAUGAAGUCUUCGAAUUGAAGCUUCUUCGUGUUGGCGACCUUCAAUGCUUUCCGCUUAUCUUCCCGCACCUCCUUGCAAUGGACUCGGACCAAGGACAGUGCAACAUCAGCACCGCAACGCGCUGCCGAUUUCUUCCAAGAUUGCACUCGGCUCAGAACCUCCUCCAAUCGGCCCGUCAGGGUCUCCAUCCCCUCCCGCGACUCGUCUUCCGGCCAAAGUUCCUUGUUAAUUCGACCGACGACUUCUCUGAUUCGACCGAUGAAAGGACCUACUUUGCUUACGCGGAUAUGUGCUCGGAGCAGAUCCCGAUUGGCUUCCUCACCGAGUGGAACUUUGUCCUUAACAGACCGCUCCACAGCCGCCGCUUCAGCUUCAGGGUCUCCGCAAAAGUCUGAAACAAACAAGCAAGCAGACAAUAAAAACCGAGUGUACGGCACACGGUACAACCACUCGACAAAGCAUAAGACUUACCAGCCAGACGAGUCAUCAUUUGCGCAGCCCAGUCGGUGACAUACUUCUCUUGAGCUAUGCAUCGUCUGUUCAGGACGCCCAUCUGAUUGUGACACUCAGUCCUCUGUUUCUUCAGUCUCUCCACCUCUGCCACCAACACCCUGUUUGCUUCCACGGCCUCCUCCAAAGACUUCUCUCGAACUUCCAGCGUGUUUUUCAUGCCGGCCAUGGCGAGCGUUGCAGCUUCCAGUUCACCAGCAUACAGGUUCUUUUCCGCUCUAAGGGCUUCAUAAGCAGUUCUCAUUUCACAAGUUUUCUACACAAAGAAACAAAGGGUAAUCAGCAAGUUUAUCAGUUCACACACUAAGUUCUUCAGACCCCUGCCGACGCAAGCAGUCGACAGCGGUCUCGGGGACUACACCCAGUGGGUUCACUAAGAGUGACCCCACUGGCAUGCACCUCAAGCAGGUCUGCCCUAUUGAGGUGCACGUUUUCACCUACGCCUCCGAGGCCAAUACUACUCGACCUGCGUGCAGUUUACUCUCGGGGACUCUUACCGCAAGAGUGCUCCGACUGCAGUAAGUACUCGCACUCGGAAAUCUCGUCUACGGACACAACCAAACUAAAGACCAAAUGUAUAAAGACAACUGUCGGUGCAAGCACUCGACAGAAGUCUCGGGGACUACACCCACUGGGUUCACUCGGAGUGAACCCAUUGCAAACAACAGACAACACCCAGUGGGUUACAGAGGAAAAGUAAGUACUUACUAGAAUACUUACUCGGAUGUCAUCGCGCAGCUCCAAGCUCCGCUGGUACAAAGCCGCAACGGAGUCAUAAGCCCUCUUGGCCUCUCCGGCCAUCAGCUCCGCCUGGACCAUGGCCCCCUUGGCCGCUCCCACCUGCUCCUCUGGGACACACCGAAUGCUGAAUUCAGCAUUCGACGAACCGGGAAUCGUGGGAAGAUCCUGGGGCAUCCCAAGGUUCGCCCCGGUCGGGUCCUCCCCCACCGGCACCGGUUCAGUCGGUGGAGGCACUUCGGUUGGCGGAGCGUCGGCGACAAGGGUGGCAGCAGGAGGAGCAGCCUGAGGGACUAGCUCCAGGACAGGCUCCACGGUGGGGUCAACUCUCCCUUGCUCGUCCUCGUCCAGGUGAAUCGCCCCUGAUAAGCCGAAUGACACGACGAUUCAGAAAAAGAAAAGGAUGGUACAGUCUACAGGAAUAAAACACCCGACUCUCUUACAACAUACCUGGCUGGGACGAGACGACGUUGUCCGUGUCUAUGGGGUCAUCCCCUUGGCGGGCCGGAGAGGUUGCAGAAGUGGCGACCCUGUCGAGUGAAGCCCAUUCGACUUGUAAAGCAGGAGUUCACUCGGAUAACAUAAAAAUCCGAAAGUUAGAUUCACUUACGUGGAUGUGACGGGGAUGGCAACCCUCAUGCGCGGCAGAGCCUUUCGAGGUUUGGGCCCACUCGGUUUGGGCGCCCUGGAAGACUGGCUUGCGGGCUCAGCGGGGGCGUCCCUGGACCUCUUCGUGCCUCGAGCACUCGGGGCCACCGGAGCGGCAGGCGGAGCACUCGACGAUGCAGGAGGAGCUGAAGGAGCGACAGGCUCGUGUCGACGCUUACUCCGAUGCUCUGGCCAUGGAGGCGGCGAGUCGCGCUCUUCGUCUUCUUCCUCCUCCUCGCUGUCCUCCUCCUCUGACUCCCCGCUGUCGGAGACAUAUUCGGCGCUCUCCACGCUCCCCUCCUGGCUGCCUUCCUCCUCUUCCUCCUCUGAAUUCCCGUUCGAGACGGGGGAGAACCAGUUGGUCCACUCCUGCAUAAGGAUCAGUCGGAAACAUUAAACAUCACACGAGGAUAUAAAUAAGCGACCAGAAUAAAGAUGAUUCGACGCACUCGGCUGAUGCCACUCACCUGAUUUGGUGGAGGGUUGUCCGCGCUGUAAGGCGCCACUCGGCGAGCUCCUUUAGGGUUCCCACAAGGGCACGUGAUUUGGAGCACCAACGAGGUCACCUUCUCCCCGAGUAUGCCCACCACGAUGGUCCGAGUGGAAUCCUCGGGCCCUGUGUAGUGCCACAUCGCGUGGUCCCGAGCCUGCAGAGGCUGGAUCCGCCGACCGAUGAAGAUCUCUAGCAGGUCUAUACCAGUGACUCCUCUCCUGACAACGUCCACGAGUGCCUCAACCAAAGGCUGGAUAUCGUUCUUCUCGGCCUUGGAGAGCGCGAGUUGUUUGGGCGGAGCGGGACGGUCUAGACUAAACGGAGGCAGCCCAGUCGAUGCAUUCGGACAGGCUAUGUCCUGCCAGUAGAACCACGUCGACUGCCAGUUCCUGACCGACUCGCUCAACUGGAGAGCGGGAUAGCUACUCCAACUCUUCUUCUGAAACCCUAAAACCCCGCAGAGCUGGAGGAGAUGCGUCUUGUCGUCCGGCUGACUAAGACGUUUGAUGGUUUGAGAGCGGGCGGAGAAGAUAUGUUUGAAUAAACCCCAAUGGGGGGGCAACCGAUAAAGCACUCGCACAAAACAAUGAAGGCAGAAAGAUGGGCGAUGGCAUUCGGAGGGAAGUGAUGGAGUUGAGCACCAAAAUGAUUCAUGAUACCUUUGAAGAAGGGAUGCGGGGGGAGAGAGAAACCUCUGUGAACAUGACUGAGGAGCAAGACGCGCUCCCCCUCCCGUGGCGCCGGCUCGACCUCGUCGUCCGCCGGCAACCUCCAGGACUUAUGCGCGAGCAGGCCGUGCUCUACCAGCUCCAGCAGGUCCCCCUCCGUCACCGUGGAGGGGAGAAAGUCUCCCUGGAUCCACCCAGCCGGCAACGGCCGCUGCCGCCGCUGAGCAGCCGCCGCCUUGCUCUUCUUCUUCCUCGCCUCCAUCUUGCUGGUCUGACCUUUGGUCAUGGAGGCGACGGUGAGUUCUCGAGAAGGAGAGGAAGAGAGGGGUGUAUGGGCGCAGGAGGUGGCGAGGAAGACGGAGCAGGCAAGAGCGAAAGAUUCGGCGAGCGUAACCGAAGGGUCUCGUUGCCCAGAGUUAAAUAGAGCACCGACUGGGUCGCUGGUGAGCGGGCCCAAAAUAUUAUCUACCCAACCAGCCGCGGCGAUAUCAGUGGAGGAGUUGAAGGCGCGAGGAUCGAGGAGUCAGGCGCUACUCGAGCGCGCUGACGUCGUCCCCGCUGAGCGCGCGGAACCCGAAAUUUGAGAUCCCGGAAAAUCCGCCGCUGUCAGUUGACCGGUCGCGUCAAAAGAUGCCGUGGAAGCACUCGGUUCCCGACAAUCUGUUUCGUGAGCACUCCCACUCGGAACGUUGGUCGAGAGAGAUAAAAUGGAUAGAGGCAAGCAACGCCCAAGCCGAACCUAGUUCAGUCGGAUCCGAACCCAAAGCACCACUUCUACGUUUCAACCCCAAUCCAUUCGGAGACUAAUGAUGGGGUUAUAGUCCUAGGGUAGGGUCAUAGGCCUGUCCUACAUGUCCUACCCAAGGACUACCCCACACAAAGGACAGGACCUUAAGUCUGCCCCGGCUGGAUUAAGGUAUCCCCAUCAUCCAGUCGGUAACAGGCCCAGAAUCAUCCAGUCGGUAACUAGCAUUCGGAGAACACCAGGCUCACUGACUGGAUACACUCGGUAUGUCGUAACCUCUCAGGAGGGAAACUACCAUACGUUUCCGGGUGCAUUUAUUAGCAUUUAGAGCAUACUUUACCUGUAACGUACGCAUUCAAUCGCCACUACUCCACCCUUGAAUCAGAACCGUUGUGGAGGGAAUCACACUCUAUAUAAGCCGCCCUCCCCCACUGGUAAAGGGGUUAGAAAAACAUUGUACUCCAUAUUACACUCGGUAACAAGCUCCGAGAGCACUGAGACGUAGGGCUAUUACCUCCACCGUAGAGGGGCCUGAACUCAUACAACCUCGCCGUAGCUAGGACUCUGCCCAUCUCAUGCGUACCCUACACAUCUACUGUCAGGCUUAUACCCACGACAGGACCCGAGGCGGAUUCGAUCGAAUCUGGCUACAGGGUCCCCUUCGGCAAGAUCAACGUCUUCAUCGGCAUGAUCGGAUCAUCCGUGCCUGAGCCGGACAUCUCUACCGACAUCGUCGAGCCGGCCAGGUACGUCCGCCCAGUAGUGACGCCAAAUCUGACUCGCCCGGUCUUUGUUGGGUUCACGUAGGGAUCGGAGGAACCAGAACACUCAGCGUCCCAGGAAACUACACCAGUCAACACUGAUGACGAAUCAUCCAUGGGCGAUUCAGAUUCAAUCCGGUCUCUACAUGGGGAUUGUCUUGGGUGCUUGUCGCUGGCCAUGGACCCCGAAGUCCUUGACCGAACCCGCCGCCAGAUCGCCAUUUAUAUGGCUGGGGCGACUCAACCCUCGCAAAACCCAACAGGAGACGACGGAACUGGCGAGACGUCUAGAAGUCCGGCCGCUGUCUUGGUGGAAUUAGCGGCGGAAAUCACAAGGCUGAUGGCGACUCCCCUCACACCGGAAAACCAGGAGGCAGUAAACGCGGAGUUGGCGAAACUCAGAGAAGCAGUGGCAAAGGCUCAUCGGGAUGCCGAGGUGGAGUCCGCCAGGAUCGAGACCCGACAAGCUCAAAUUACCUCCGAAAUAACUCGCUUAAAUGCUGACAACUGGCGGCUCGAAAGACACCAGCGCGCAUCCGAUGCCGUCCAUCAGCGGAGACACCAGGGUCGCCUGCCCCCUGAUCUCAACCCGACCCGCCUGUUCGAUACUCCACGAACUCCUGGGGCGGGAGCCGCCGCAGGGGGAGGACCGGGUCAACCACCUAACCCGCCGGUUCAGCCAAUUGAGGAUCGGAUUCCCCGAUUCUGGACACCUCAAGGUCACUUUUCCAACCCAGUGGAUAACGUCCUUGCUGCAACUCGCCAUUUGGAAUCUCUUCCGAUUCACAGCAACACUCCCGCCGAGAUAGAAGCAAGGAACGCCAUUGAGAUGUUGAAGACGGCGGUGGUUCAAAAUGCCCAGUUCUCACAUAGCCUAGAUAGGCUGCAUUCCACUCCCCAGGCGAGUCACACCAGGAGUCGGCCAAAGGACCAGCCCGCCGUAAACAGCGGGCCGCGACUCAUCCCCCAGGACAACCCGCCUGAUCAUCAGAACCCGUUGGGCCGGGAUCUCCCGAACAUCCAAGUCGCCCCGGCCCCUCUCGUCGGGAGCGGUGGACGAGUGGGGGUGCCGUGCUUGGCCCCCGCCCUUCGCAACGAACGAAUGCCCAAGGAUUUUAAGGGACCAGGAAAGGUGCCUAACUACACCCCGGACCUUGAGCCGACAUCAUGGGUCGAGAGUUACGAAAUCGCCAUGGACAUGCUCGACGUAAACGAGGCAGUUUGCGCCAGAUACUUCACGAUGAUGCUCGAGGGGUCAGCACGUACUUGGUUAAAAAACCUUACCCCCAACUCCAUCCAGACCUGGGCUGAAUUGAAAGAGCGCUUCAUCAAAAACUUCCGAGGAACCUGCAAACGUCCAAUGACGAUCGUCGAUGUGCAGCACUGCAUUUAGCGCCCCGAUGAGUCGGCCCACCAUUGAUCACGGCGGGUUGCGGAAAUUAUCCAUUCAUCAGACGGUAUUACGGCGGCUCAGGCUGUGUUAUUCCUCGAGCAGAAUUGCCAUUACGAACCCCUGGUACAAAAAUUGGGGCGACUCAAGCGAAAGGUCCAAGACAUGGGGGAGCUGAUGGAUACCCUCACUAGGUACGCUGAAGCAGAUGACACCAAAGAUCCCGGUGAGGACGGUAAAGCUAAUUCGCCCAAGAAGGGCGAGUCAUCCAAAAAUCAUACCCGGUUCCAGGGACGUAACCGCCACAAUCAAGGAGCUAAUGGCAAGAGAAGGCAGCAAGAGGAACCUUCGGAUUUAGUAGCCAAUACCAACACCAACAGUGGCAACCAACGCCAGAAGAAAAACAGGGGAUAUAGUGGUAAGAAGCCGCGUAACUAUGAAGAGUUACUCAAGGGCCCUUGCCCGCAUCAUGCCAUGGCAGACGGACCGGCGACUCACUCCUGUGAGAACUGCUUCGUGAUGUGGGAGUUUCGGGCGGAGGCGAUCAAGAAAAGCCAAAAUGAUGACCCGGACCAACGGCAGGAGCAGUUUGCUGCACCCAACCAACGACAAAACCCCUUUGGCGGUUUUCCCGAACCGGGGGCUCAGGGAGGCUCGCAGCCGAGCAGCGGCCAGUAUCCGAUGCAUCACCAGCGGCGGUAUAACCCGCCAGGAGCCUUUCAACAGCCGCCCCCACAGGGGGCUUCGCAGGAUCAGGAUGACAACGGGGGCUUUCGCAAUAACCCCAAACAGUUAAGCAAUGGGCAGUAUCACGUUUUCACCACCAAUGCUUGCAGACAUGAUAAGAAGGUGAGUCACUGGGCGUACAGUGUGUUUGAGCCGGCGCUUCCCAGGUACCUCCACUGGUCUGAACAGACCAUAUCAUGGAGUAGGGAGGAUCACCCGCCAAGAGUUGACAAUCCUGGCGACUUAGCGUUGGUCGUAGCUCCCCAAGUUGGGGGGUUACACCCUGUCCAAAGUGCUAAUGGAUGGUGGCAGCAGCAUUAACAUCUUGUAUUUUGACACUUUCCAAAGGAUGAACCUAUUGGAAAAGGACCUGAUGCCUUCAACCACGGUUUUCCACGGAAUCGUCCCGAGCAAGUCGGCGUACCCCAUAGGCCAAGUCAGACUCACAGUUGCAUUUGGAACAGCACAUAACUACAGGUCCGAGUCACUGAUGUUUGAGGUGGUCAAAUUGAAAAGCCCCUAUCAUGCGCUAUUUGGGUGGCCGGCUUAUGCCCGUUUCAUGGCUCGCCCAUGCUAUGUUUACCUUAAGCUCAAGAUGCCUGGUCCUAAGGGACCCAUCAUAGUUUAUGGUGAUAGAAGGAUUGCAAAGGAAUGUGAAGAAGGGGACGCGGCUUAUGCGGAAGUCGCCUUCGCUGCAGAGGAGCUCAAACAUCAUCGGGCCAAUGUUGACCCGGCGGACAUGUCACCCCUAAAGAAGCCAACAACAGAUGCUGAGUCGCCCCUCAAGUUCAAACCAACGGAUGACACUAAAACAGUCGAUUUCGUUCCGGGCGAUUCAUCCAAGCAGUUCACCAUUGGGACGGGUCUGGAUCCCAAAUAGGAAAGCGCGCACCGAAUUCAUCCGUGAGAAUUGGGACAUCUUUGCAUGGAAACCUUCUGACAUGCCUGGUGUGCCGAGAGAACUCGCUGAGCACCAUCUUAAUGUUGACCCAAAGGCAAAACCUAUCCAGCAGUAUCUUCGCAGGUUUAACGAGGAGCGACGCAAGGCAAUCGGGGAAGACGUUGCCCGUCUCUUAGCUGCCGGAUUCAUCGUGGAAGUUUUCCACCCCAAAUGGCUGGCUAACACGGUUUUGGUACUCAAGAAGAAUGGUACCUUCCGUAUGUGCAUUGAUUACACGGACCUCAACAAAGCUUGUCCGAAAGACCCUUUCGCUCUUCCCCGCAUCGACCAGAUCAUUGACUCGGUGGCGGGAUGCGAACGUUUGUGCUUUUUUGACGCAUACUCUGGAUAUCACCAGAUCAAGAUGGCUGUGGAGGAUCAAGAGAAAACAACUUUUAUAACCCCCUUUGGGGCUUUUUGCUAUCUGUCCAUGCCGUUUGGGCUCAAGAGUGCGGAGGCGACUUAUCAGCGCUGCAUCCAGAAUUGCCUCCGCAGCCAAAUCAGGCGCAACGUCCACGCCUAUGUCGACGAUAUUGUGAUCAAAACACGCCAGGGGGAGACGCUACUGGAGGAUCUCAAGGAAACUUUCGAUAAUCUGCGGGUGUAUCAGAUGAAGCUGAAUCCCACCAAGUGUGUUUUUGGUAUUCCUGCAGGGAAAUUCUUGGGCUUCCUGGUGUCUGAGCGUGGCAUUGAAGCUAACCCGGACAAAAUCGAAGCAGUUACAUCCCUUGGAAAACCGGCAAAUGUUAAUCAAGUUCAACGAAUGGAGGGUCGCAUUGCGGCUCUAAGUCGCUUCGUAAGCCGCCUCGGAGAAAAGGCGAUUCCCCUUUAUCAAUUACUAAAGAAAUCUGACCAUUUUGUUUGGACAAAUGAAGCAGACGAAGCGUUCGAAGCCUUGAAACGGCAACUGGUCAACCCGCCGGUCUUGGCCGCCCCGACUGAGAAAGAACCCAUGCUUCUGUAUAUUGCGGCAAACUCCAAAGCUGUAAGUGUGGCGGUGGUCGUUGAAAGAAAGGAGGAAGGGAAGGAGUACCCAGUGCAACGCCCGGUGUAUUUUAUCAGCGAAGUGCUAACCCUUUCCAAGCAACGGUACCCACAUUGGCAGAAGUUAGUGUAUGGGGUGUUUAUGGCGAGUCGGAAACUUAAGCAUUAUUUCCAAGAACAUCCUAUCACAGUGGUUAGUUCAGCCCCCCUCGGGGACAUCAUCCAGAAUCGGGAGGCAACAGGGCGGAUUGCCAAGUGGGCGAUUGAACUUGGGACGCAUCACGUACGAUACACCCCUCGCACAGCCAUCAAGUCUCAAGCCUUAGUUGAUUUUGUCAAUGACUGGGCGGAGUUGCAGGCCCCGGAGGACAGGCCUGAUCUUACAUACUGGACUAUUUAUUUUGAUGGAUCCAGACAGCUGGAAGGCUCGGGGGGUGGUGUGGUACUGGUAUCCCCUCAAGGAGAUAAAUUCUGUUAUGUCCUCCGACUCAUGUUUCCGUGCACUAACAAUGCUGCGGAAUAUGAAGCUUUGCUUCACGGCUUGCGACUCGCCAAGGAGAUGAACCUCACGCGAGUCAGAUGUUUUGGCGACUCUGAUCUGGUGGCGCAGCAAGUUUCAGGUACCUGGGAUUCUCGAGACCCCGUGAUGGCGGCUUACAGAAGAGCUGUGUCUGACGUGGCGGGUCAUUUUCAUGGCUAUCAGGUUGACCACAUUGAUCGGCGCCUCAACGAGGCAGCUGACGCCCUUUCACGUCUUGGUUCCGAGCGAAAGUCGGUUCCCCCCAAUGUUUUUCUGGAUAUUUUGCAUAAUCCAUCCGUGAGUUUACCAUCGGAGGAGGAGUUGGCAAUACCGGAUCCUGAGUCUCAGUUCGUGGCGGCUCUCCACGUCACGCCGGAUUGGGUUCUUCCCUAUCUGGCUUAUCUCGCCCGGGGCGAGUUACCAACAGACGAAGUUUCGGCCCGUCAAAUCAUUCGGCGGAGCAAAUCCAUGGUGAUCAUCAAUGGCGAAUUAUAUAAGCGGAGCGCCUCUGGAGUUUUUCAAUGAUGCGUUCCCUCCGAAGAAGGAUGCAUAAUCCUAAAUGACAUUCAUUCCGGGGACUAUGGGCAUCACGCCGGGUCACGCUCUUUGGUGUCAAAGGCAUUCCGUCAUGGUUUCUUUUGGUUGACGGCUCAUGUAGAUGCAGAAGAGAUAGUUUGUCGGUGCAAGGGAUGCCAGCGUUAUGGACGACAGGCUCAUGUGCCGGCUCAAGAACUAAGAAUGAUUCCCAUCACUUGGCCUUUCGUGGUCUGGGGGUUAGACAUGGUCGACCCCUUUAAAAUGUCAUCCAACAAGAAAACCCAUUUGCUGGUGGCGGUUGAUAAGUUCACCAAGUGGGUUGAGGCAGAACCUAUUGGAACUUGCGAUGCGGAGACAGUGGUCAAGUUCUUGAAGAAGUUGAUCUUCCGGUUUGGAUAUCCACACAGUAUUAUUACUGAUAAUGGCACUAACCUGUCCCAAGGGGCGAUGCAGGAGUUUUGCCGUCGAGAGCAUAUCCGGCUUGAUAUUUCUGCGGUUGCUCACCCACAAUCUAAUGGGCAGGCGGAACGGGCAAAUCAGGAGGUUUUACGAGGAAUCAAGCCCCGACUCAUGGUUCCCUUGGAGAAAACCCUGGGAUGUUGGGUCGAAGAAUUGCCUUCAGUGCUAUGGAGCAUCCGGACCACCCCGAACUGGUCCACGGGUUUUACCCCUUUCUUUCUGGUCUACGGAGCAUAAGCUGUUCUUCCUACUGACAUAAGGCAUGACUCGCCUAGAGUCGCCGCAUAUGUGGAGCAAGACAACGAACUGGCGCGUCAAGACUCCUUGGACGCCUUAGAGGAGGCACGUGACUUGGCUGCGGCCCGUUCGGCCAUCUAUCAACAGGAUCUACGGCAUUAUCACAACCGCCGAGUUCAGAGCCGAACCUUUCAGGAAGGCGACUUAGUGCUUCGGUUGAUACAGGAUCGUGCUGGCAUGCAUAAGUUGUCACCGCCAUGGGAAGGACCGUUCGUCAUCCGCAAAAAUCUUCGCAACGGCUCUUACUAUCUGGUGGAUCUCCCGCCUAACCGGCCAACCACGGAGGCUGAGUCAACUCGCCCCUGGAAUAUUGCCCACUUGCGGCCUUAUUACACUUGAGCUUUUAAGCUCUGCAUUUUGUAAGUUUUUUGGUUCUUAUUAUGAAGCAAUAAAAUUAAAACGCUUCCCGACUUGGGGGAUUCCUCAUUGAGAAUAAUUUUGUUAUCCUUAUGAGCCGGCAAAAUCAAUAUCUUGGGUGGCGCUUGAGCUUUCUGACUCGCCCCAUCCUGUCGCGACCUUAUGAGCCGACGAAAUCAUUAUCUUGGGUGGCGCUUGAGCUUUCUGACUCGCCCCAUCCCGUCGCGACCUUAUGAGCCGACAAAAUCAUUAUCUAGGUUGGCGCUUGAGUUUUCUGACUCGCCCCAUCCUGUCGCGACCUUAUGAGCCGACAAAAUCAUUAUCUAGGGUGGCGCUUGAGCUUUCUGACUCGCCUCAUCCAGUGCGACCUUAUGAGCCGAUAAAAUCAUUAUCUUGGGUGGCGCUUGAGCUUUCUGACUCGCCCCAUCCUGUCGCGACCUUAUGAGACGACAAAAUCAUUAUCUACGGUGACGCUUGAGCUUUCUGACUCGCCCCAUCCUGUCGCGACCUUAUGAGGCGACGAAAUCAUUAUCUAGGGUGGUGCUUGAGCUUUCUGACUCGCCCCAUCCUGUCGCGACCUUAUGAGCCGAUGAAAUCAUUAUCUUGGGUGGCGCUUGAGCUUUUUGACUCGCCCCAUCCUGUCGCGACCUUAUGAGCCGACGAAAUCAUUAUCUUGGGUGGCGCUUGAGCUUUUUGACUCGCCCCAUCCUGUCGCGACCUUAUGAGCCGACGAAAUUGCUAUUUUUUUACCUUUGUGGCACUGCCACAAGGUUUUCCAGACUUUUUUCUGAUUCAUCUUGAAAUAUUUUGGGACGGCUGCAAUUUGUUAUCACUUAUUAUUCAUUAAGAUGAUUUCACAUAUGUUUUUCAAGCUUAGAACAGGUUGAUGAUCAAAAUCACUUUAUCCAUGGCGGAUUAAGCAUCAUAAAGAAGCUUCAAAUGGCGGAUCAAGUAUUUCAAAUCGCCUUAAGGGCGACAUAAGGAUUCUUUUUGAAGGUAUCACAAAAGCAGUACCGAUUCCUAAAGGAGACCGAUUACAUGGCUCUUAUGGCCAAAUUCAAUGAAGUUUAUUCUGCUGACGCCCUUGGAUCAGUUUGCUGCGAGCUUUGGCCAACCUCAAUCUACAAGUCGCCCAGUACCCAGUUACACUUGGCCAGAGCGGCAAAGUCAUCUUCAUCGAUCAGGAUUGAUGAAAGAUCUGCGUCCAAGUCAAAAGGGUUCUUGGGUCGCCGUGGAGUUAAGCUGGUCGUCACAAAGGUUGGCGGGUUGACCUUCUUGUUCUUACUAUCAUAAGCAGCCUAGUACUUUGAUAAGUCCAGACUUGCAGCAAGUUGAGUCGCCGCCAGACGGGAGUCCUUGACGACACGCUGGUAGUCCUCUUCGGCGAAUUCUGACCCGUCAUCCUUGAGUUGGGGAAAGCCCGCUACUACUUCUUCUGGGUUGAUCUCUGAAGCAUAUGCUAAGCAGCGACUUAAUGUAAUCAGCACUCCCUUCCGGGCGGCUUACCGAGUCAACUCGCCAAUCUGGGGAGGAAGCGUGGAUAGGCAGCCAAGCAUCUUCUUUAUGGAGGUUAUGGGCUCCUUGGCGCCCAUCACUGCUUUCACAUUCAGUACACUGCCGGUAUAUAGCUGCUCUGUGAGCGUGUAAAUCACCUUCAGCAUUAGCACGCAAUCAUCCUGAAGGUUGGCGACUCUCGGACCUGUACAAGGGGUAAUGAUAAUCAGCGACUCAAGAUAAGAGUUAUUUGUUUAAAAAGGUCAAGGGUUUGUAUUUUACCAAAGACGGCCUGCGCCAUGUUUGAGAUAUGACGUUUCAAACCGGACAGCUCUUGUUGCACAGUAGCCAGCUUGGCUUCAGCUUUCUCUGCUCGCUUUGUUGAAGCAUCUUGGUCAGCUUGAGCCCUUUUUAAAUCGGCUUUUAGUUUUUCCAUCUCAGCUAAGACCAGUUGAUACUUCUACUCCGAUUUGGCUCGGGCAUCCUGCUGAUCAGAUACGCUUUUCUUCAAGUCGCCAAGUGCUAAUUCAGUCUGGAUAAGAGAUUCCUGUUGAAACACAUGAUAAGGGGCAAGUCUCAGAACUAUUGCAAGCAAUAUCCCUGACACUUGGGGGCUAAUGUAUUAAAAAAAAUCAGACAAAAUUAUACAGCAUCAAGACCCGGCUCAUCUUUUUACUGAUGACCCGGCGCCUUGGGGGUUACUGGUCGAAAGUUUUUUAAAGUCAUCAAGACCCGGCUCAUCUUUUUACUGAUGACCCGGGCCUUGGGGGGUUACUGGUCGAAAGUUUUUUAAAGUCAUCAAGACCCGGCUCAUCUUUUUACUGAUGACCCGGCCCUUGGGGGUUACUGGUCAAAAGUUUUUUAAAGUCAUCAAGACCCGGCUCAUCCUUUUACUGAUGACCCGGCCCUUGGGGGUUAAUGGGGAUAAUAUAGUAUACAACAAAAUUUACCUCAUGUUUAUUUUUUAGCAUCCGAAGCAGGCUUUUCUCCAUCUCAUAACUCGCCUCCAGGCGACUUGCAAAACCAAAGCAAAGUUCUUUGAAUUCCAAAUGUUCAUAUUCAGAGAGCUUAACCUUGGAGAGUCCAGACUCACGAACGGUUUGAGAUGACGAUGGCACAUGCUUUGAUAAAACCGCUGUGGCCGGUUUAGAGAAGCUGGUACCAGUGAUAAUUACAACGUCUGGGUCUUUUGCUGUUGUCAAUGGACUUGGCGGCUUGGGGGCAUCCAUUGUUUCCUUGGGCGAGCUAGGGAGAUCCACUUGAUCCUCAGGUUUGUCUUGGUCCGGAUUAUCUUGGAUCGGCGCCGGAUCUUUGAUGGGCUCUGAGAUUAUGAUAGGAGUUGACCCGCUG